Molecule: long non-coding RNA, 83372 nt
Filed under: Populus trichocarpa (black cottonwood)
Lineage: Eukaryota; Viridiplantae; Streptophyta; Magnoliopsida; Malpighiales; Salicaceae
Description: long non-coding RNA (PTRI_LNC003318)
Source: RNAcentral
ACAAAAAUGGUGUGGUCGCCAGAACACUUGCUCUAAAUUUUGGUUCUUUCCUCCCGUCUUUAAAAACCAUUAAAAGUUCAUGAUUUGCUACCCUUCUCUUAUCUCCGGCCUCCAUCUUUCACUACUCUUUAUUCACCAAUUAUGAUAGUAAUGGCAAACCGCAUGAGAAUGCUGCUAUUAACCCUUUCCACUGUCAUAACAAUCAACUUCUCAUUAUCAUCAACAAUUUCUGAAGUUUCUAAAGAACAAAUACCAUGCACAAUGUGCUAUUCCUGUGACAAUCCUUGUCAGCCUUUACCAUCGCCGCCUCCGCCUGCUAUCCCUGAAUGUCCACCGCCUCCUCCCCCACCUUCUCCACCGCCACCAGCUAUCCCCGAGUGUCCACCGCCACCAGCUCCUAUUAAUGAGUGCCCUGCGUGUCCAACACCACCGACACCAUUUCCGCUCCUAUUAAUGAGUGCCCUGCGUGUCCAACACCACCGACACCAUUUCCGCCUGUGCUGCCCCCUAAGCAGUCGUAUUGGCCGGGUGCUGGCUAUUCCUUUAAUGGACCACCAGCUGGUUACGGGAACAAUCCAGUGCCUUACUUUCCAUUUGACAAUAACAACCCACCACCUUCUUUCUCUUUCAAAUCCGUUCAUUUGAAGCUGCAGUCCAUUGUUCUCUGUAUUUUUCUUUCGCUUACUUUUCUAUGCUUCUUCUAAAAAUUAACCUCUUAGGCAGCUUGGAACUCAGAGGAGAGGAAAUUCCAUUUAACAAAGCAGCAGGCCCCGGAACUGCUAAUCUAAAAGAAGAAAUAUGGCUUAGCGCCUGGCAGUCAAUUCUAUAUAUGAAGGAUUUUUCUGUUUCCUGUCCCCUGUAAUUGUUCAAUAAAUAUUCAUGCAUGUUAUACAUAUUUAAGAUAGUAAAAUACAUAAAUCUGUAAUCCCAAAUGCGAAUUUAGCAUGUAAUUUUCAUUUUUUAUUCCCCACAUCAAUCCAGUUCAUGCGUGUGUUUGACUGUAACAUCUAGACGCUUGUCUUGUCUUUGAUUAGUUUAAACUCUUCCUUCAAUAAUAGGUAAUUUAAAGGGUAUCAAUUAUAGAUUUGGAGAAAAUUGAAUUUAUUUGUUGAAAUUAAAUUUGAUUUUAUAAUUUAUGUGUCUUAUAAUUAAAGAAAUAAUAGGUAAUUUAAAGGGUAUCAAUUAUAUUUUGUUAAUUUUAUUGUUAACUUAGAAAUUUAGGGAAAAUUGAUUUUUAUGGAAUUAAUAAUAAUUAAAAUGUAUUAAUUUAGGUUGAAUAAGUUUGAAUUGAAUAAAUGAUGGAUAACUAGUUUGGUGCUAAUUAUUUUUUGUUAAUUUUUUUGUUUAGUUCACAUAUUGAUGGAAAAUGAAAUUUGUGUAGAAUUGAUAAUUAGUUAUUGGAUUACAAAUUCAUUUUUAAUAAAAAGUUGUCAUCAAAAUUUUAUAUAGGUUUUAUGAGCAAUGAAUGCUCGUUAUUGGAUAUUUCAAGAUUCUAAAGAAGGGUUGUAUAGGCAAGAUCAUCUUAAAAUGUUUGGGGUUUUAUUAUUUUUAUACUUUCUAAUCCAAAGAAUAUUAGCGGGAGUGUGAUUAGAUGUCUAUGUGCGAAGUGGAAAAAUAAAAAUAUUCAUCAUAACGAUGUUGUGACGAUGCAUAUAUUUAAAAAAUAAUUCGUUGAGAAAUACUUAUAUUGGUUUGUACACGAAGAACCCUAUGUUUCUUACAAAACCAUGUUAGAAAAGAUGGCUGACUCAAUUUUAACUUCCAACAGCAUACAAGGUUCACGUAACCUUCUUUUAGGUGAAGAACUAAAAGUCUAAUGAAUUGUUAUGAGAUGGGUUCACAACUUAUAGUAAGUUUCUAAUUAUUGAACAAAUAUUUACCAUCAAGUUAAAUUAUGAAUUAAGUGAGGUUGGUUAUGACUGGAUCAUUGAACAACAAAAAACAUGUUACUUGAAGGGAAUAAGCUGAAAAAUAAUUAUUAUACUGCAAAAUUCAUGAUGAAAUCUCCUUGACCUAAGAUACUAAAAAAAAAAUCCACACUUUUGCAUGUUAUAUUAAAGUCAAUAUACAAAUUUUACCUAAUAUAGAACUUGUCCCUAUUUUAUUUUUCAUUUUACAACGAUCCUCUCUCUCCCAUUUCGAAUACGUUUGGGUAAAAUUUAAUUUUUUUUUUUUGCUAAAAUUUAAUAUGUUUUGUAUGUUUUAGAUCGUUUUGAUGUGCUGAUGUCAAAAAUAAUUUUUAAAAAAUAAAAAAACAUCAUUGACAUGCAUUUCGGCACAAAAAGUUAUUUGAAAAGGAACCGCAACCACAACCACACUGCCAAAUACUUCAUCAAAUCCUGGCAAGCCCUCCUUAAAAUCUGGCCACCCAUUUUGCCAUCUUUGAUGCAACCUCUCUCCAAUAGCAUAAGCUUUUCUCUCUUGAUUACAUGUCUUGUCAAGCUUCACUCCACUAAGUAAGCAAACCAACUCAUUUAUGUUUUAAGUUAAUUUACUAAAAUUUAUAUGUAGUAUUUAUAAUUUUCUUCUAUUUUUAAGUGUUUUACUUGUUUUAUAAUGACAAUUUUUUUUCUAUUAAUAUAUGAUCCGUAUUCUAGAGUUUGUUUGGGUUUUGGAAGAGAUGAAUUUAAUUUAUCACUUGAUGAAAUUGAGUGUGAUUUUGUAACUUAGGUGUGUUAGAAUUGAAGAAAUGACGGAUAAUUUAAUAGUUACCAAUAAUUUUGUGAUAAUUUUAUGGUAAAGUUGGAAAUUUAAGAAAAAAAUGAUUUUGUAUGGAAUAAUAAUAACUAAAGGUGUUAAUUUAGGUUGAAUAAGUUUGAAUUGAAAAAACAAUGGAUAACUAGUUGGGUCUCUUUUAGUCAAUUAUGAUUUUUGUUGAAAAUUUAAGAAAAAUUAAUUUAAUAUAUAAUUUAGAACAAUUAUGGUAUUAAUUGAUAUUAUUAUUUUAUUGAUGAUAUUAUGAUAUGAGAAUUUAUGAUGUUUAUGGUAAAGAUAGUGAUUAUGAUGAUAGUAGUUAUGAUGAUAACAUUUAUAGUGACAGUUAUAAUAAUAAUAAUAAUAAUAAUAAUAAUAAUAAUAAUAUCGGUUAUAGUGAUGAUGUUUGUUAUGGUAAUUAUAAUAUUGAUAGUGACUAUGAUAUGUCAACUAGUGAUGGUGGGAAGGGUGGUGAUAAUAACUAGUGACGGUGACAGUAAGGUGAUGAUUAUUAUUUUGACAGUGGAGACGUAGAAAAGUUAUGAAGAGAUAAUGAUAAAAUGAUGAUUAUAUUGAUAAAAAAUGAUAGUGGUGGUGAUGUGGUCGACAAUGGUGUGGUAGUGGUGAUAAAAUAAUGGUUAUAUUAAUAAACGUUUUGAAUUGUGUUUAUUAUUUCAUUCUAGGUACCAUGUAUUUUAGAAGAAACAAGUUUAAGUUCAAGUUCAACAAAAGCGUUACUAAUUUUUCAAGUAAUAAUAAUAGUGUUAGUGAUAAUGCCGUGAAUUUAAAGAUAAUUAUGAAAAAGCAUAUAAUGUAGAAGUUAUCAAUCAAUGCUAUGGGUGUAUUGGGCUCAACUAAGUGCACCUAUUAAUUUAUCUUUUUGACCUUUUAGUUGAGGAUUUCCUCCUUCAUGUUUUUUAACACAUUUGAUGUGAUGUACCGGGUAUAUAUAUUUUAUAUUAAUUAUUUGAUUGUACUUUAAUUGUAAUUUUAAUGAUUUCUUGCUUGAAUCUUAAUGUAUUGUAAAUGUUUAUGUAUGAAAUUUUGCUUUAUUGUUGAAUACUACUAUUUAUAUGAAUUUAUUAUUUAAAUCUUCUAACCAUGAAAACCCGCAUGUCUAGUGUAAUCCAUUUAACAUUAUUUACAGUAACAAGUUUUGUAUUCAAUCAACAAUUUAUAAUAACAAUGAAAACUUUUUAAAUAUCGAUCAAAUAUUUUGGUGGCAUCGUGCAAUUUGUGUAGGAGUGCCUCUACCAUUGCGUUGUCACGAUGAUAUUUUUCUGGUGCCGUUGUUAUUUGUUCGGAAAGGAGGACACAUGGGAGGGGAUGAACCGGCCUCGGUCCCCUUUUGCACUCGUGAUACUUACUGGCUACCCUUGUGGGUGGAUUGACUCAAAAUAUGGAAGGAAUAAGGGCUGCCAUUUUUUAAUUUGUUCUUGUUCGUCUUUUGAUAAUGGUGGCGUAGAAGAUAAAAAAAACCAGGUCAUAGUACAGUCACCAAUACAUUUACACAUGGCCGGUGUGCCCUUCUUCAUUGCUAAAUACCAACCACCACCAUUUUUUUCAGCACCAUUCUCCCCAUCCUCAGUCCUCCCAAUCCCUUUUCCCUCCCUCAAAAAUCUUAUGAACAACAACACCAGUUUCUAAGGAUCCUAUCACCAUCAUUAGAAAUUAAAAUGAUUAACCCCAGCUCCCUAUCAGUAUCAUUCUUAAUUCUCUUCAUUUUGCACACCGAUUACUUUUCAUCAACCACAUCGAACAUUACAGGAGUUUCCAAGGACCAAAUACAAUGUACAAUGUGCUCUGCCUGUGAAAACCCAUGUCAACCCCUUCCAUCUACUCCUCCACCACCACCCCCUGUCUCCACUUGUCCGCCUCCGCCAGCGGUUGUCUCAGGCUCCCCACCGCCACCAUCAAUGCCAAAUUCAGGCACAAUUUACUACUCGCCACCGCCACCAUCAAUGCCAAAUUCAGGCACAAUUUACUACUCGCCACCGCCACCUAAUUCAGUGCCCACGUACGCGUACUCCCCUCCGCCACCACCUGCUGAUGUUGCUGGAUUUUAUCCGCCGCCAAGAUAUGGUAACUAUCCAGCGCCUCCGCCACCGAACCCUAUACUUCCUUACUUUCCAUUCUAUUAUUAUAACCCUCCACCAUCGUCUUCUCCUAACUCUGUUCUCUUGAAAAUGAACCCCAUUGUUUUUUUCAUUUUUCUUCUUCUUUCUUUCUUUCCUCUGUUGCUUCUAAAUUGAUCAGAAACUCAUUAACCGAUAAAUGCAGAGGUUUUUCUUUUCUUUUCCUUAUUAAAAAAUAAAAAUUUCAGUUAAUUUCUGUACUUACAGAUAUUUUUUUUGAAAGUCAUCCAAUUUAUCGUCCUUUUUUUUUAUAUAAAAAAUCUACUUAGAAAUGCCUGAUGAGACGCGGAAGCUUUUCUUUUGUUACGGGCUAGAAGAAGCAGGAUAAAUGAAGGCUGCGGGGUCAGAGAAAUGUCUACCACCAUGCUACAUGUGUAAUUCUCGAAAGAUGUAUUUUUUUGUUGCUCAAAGAAAAAAAAUUAUGUAGAGUUGGGAUUUUCAUGUGAAAAGAAGUAUUCUCCUUGAGAUACAAAAGAUGGAAAGAUUGUUUGUAUUUGCUGUGAAACGGUGUUUUGUAAUUUUUUAAAAAAUUAUUUUUGUUUAAAAUUUAAUUUUUUAUAUUUUUAAAUUAUUUUAACAUAAAAAUUAAAAAAAUAUUAUUUUUAUAUAUUUCUAAAUAAAAAUUAUUUUAAAAAAUAAUUGUUAUUACAUUCUCAAGUACGAAAUGGAUGAUGUUAUUUUUACCUUUUGAAUUAGUUGUUUGUUAUUCUCUAUAUUUAAAUUAAUUUUAUUAUAAUUUUAUGAUUUCAUCUUUAUUUAAUAUUAUCAUAAAUCAAGGAUUUUUCAGGGAACUAUUUUAAAAAAUAAGAUCCUGAAACUAGACGUGCUAAUGAUACCAGCAGUAUACAUCUUCUAAUACGUUAGGAAAUAUCCAUAGCUGAAAAGAAAAAAAAAGAGUAAGAAAACAUAAAAUAUAAAUAAAAAAAAUUAGCAAUCCAUUUUAAGAAAUUGAAAUCUAUUAGGUUUGAGAGAAUAUAUUAUAAUAUUAGAUUUCAUAUAUAAUCUCUGAAUUUACUAUUUAUUGUAGGCUAAACCCAUAAUUUGCCUUUUGUUUUAUCCCAAGAGUAAAUUAUAAAUUAGUCUCUUUAGUUUUUCAAAAUGAAUUAAGUUGUUUUUCUAGUUUUAGAAAUUAAUUAAUUAAUCCCUUAACCAAUACUGAUCAUUUUUAAUUUUUUAUUUCAAAAAAUACUUUCUUUUCUCAUCAAUCUUUUUCAUAUGAUCUACUUUUUCCAUCCUCUAAAAUAAAAUUAAAAAAAAAAGAACAUGGAAUGGACAAAAUUAAUUAGAUUAUAAAAUGUAGAAUCUAAUUAAUUAGUUUUUGGAAACAGAAAAACUAUUUAGUUCGUUUUGCAAAACUAGAAAUUAAGAUUAAUUUAUAAUCUACUCUUAUCCCUAAGCAGUCUCUAUUCUGUUAAUCCAAUCAAACAAAUCCAUUGUUUAAUGUUUACGAAAAAUUAAAAAAAAAAACUGCAUGGUCUCGAAAUCUCUGUGAAAGUAGAUUGGAUUCUUAUCGGCAAAUGUGCCAUCAUUAAUUUAUCAGCACUUUGAAGGCGAAGGAAAAGAUAGGGUCAGGUCAAGCUUUAGAGGUUCUUUUAAGAAGAUCCUCGUCUUAAAAAAACAAAGAGACGGAAAUGAUUGAUUGGCAAGGUUCCUAAAGGUGGUAACGACGUGGGAGGUGGAUUACAGUCGAGUUUUGCACCUCUGGAGGUCCAUGUGCUUUGUUUGGUUGGCAACCGAGGGCGGUGGCCCCGGGGAGAGCCGGCUUGAAUAUAUGCCCUCGCACAUGCCACCGUUCUAUUUUUAUUUCCCCUCUAAAAUGGAGGAGAGGCGAGGACGAGGGCUCCUGAGACUAAUCCAAACUUCGAGUCUUAUUUAGAUGUGAUUUAAGGUAGAUCUUUCACAGUGAAAAGCAGUUUGGUUUUGGUUUAAAUCUUUGUGUUAAAGAUGGAUAAGAUUUUGAAAUUAGUCUUAGGCGAUGUUUGUUUCUCGGAAAGUAGUUUUCGGGAAAUCACUUUCCAAACUUUCAUGUGUUUGUUUGUCAUUAAAAAAGUUGGUCAACGAAAAACACUUUCCAGUCAACGGAAACACUUUCCGAUCAAUGAAAAACACUUUCCAGUCAAAGAAAAAUUUGGUUUGGUUUCCAGAAAAAUGUUUUCCCUUUUGGCUGUGUUUGUUUUCCGAAAAGUGGUUUCCGAGAAAUCACUUUCCAAACUUUCCCGUGUUUGUUUGGCAUUAGAAAAGUUGGUCAACGGAAAACACUUUCCGGCCAAAGGAAAAUUUGGCUUGGUUUUCAGGAAAGUGUUUUCCUAGAAAAUUUAGGCAGAAAACACUUUCCGGAAGUUAUGAAAAAUUUAGAAAUGUCAUUAUUUGCUGAUUAUAUCAAAUUUGAUCCUCAAACUUUUAACUGCUAUAUAUAAUUUGUUUUGAAUAUUUAUUUUUCAAUUUUAUCUCUUAAAAUUUAAUUUUUAUAUUAACUUUGAUCGUUAUUUUUAUAAUUGCUAUUUGCUUUUUCCUCAUCAUUUUUUUAUUGAAAUUUUUUAUCUAUUAAAUUUGGUCCUUAUUCUUUUGAUUGUUAUUUAUUUUAUUUGAAAUAAUUUAUGAAAUGUUAAUUAUUAUUAUUUUAAUUUCUUCAUCUUUCAUUUUUUUUUUAAUUUUUUAGAUUUGAUCUCUAUUAUUUUGAUUAUUAUUUAUUUUAUUUGAGAUUGUUUAUAAAACUAUAUAUUUUUUCAAUUUCAUUCUCAUUCAACUUUUUAAUUUGUAAGAUUUGUUCCUCAUUAUUUUAAUAAACUUGAGAAAAAUAAAACAUUAAUAAGUUAUUUUCCAGCUCAUUUUCCAUGACAUAACCAAACACUGGAAAGUGUUUUCCAACUUAUUUUUCAUUACACUACUAAAUAUUAGAAAAUACUUUUCUGAAAUUUACUUUCCCGAAAUUCACUUUUCAAAAAAAACAUACUUUCCAGCAAACAAACGGGCCUUAUAUGUGAAAAUCAUUCAUUCCAAGUAGUCUGAUCAUGCAGCUCAUAAACCUGUUGUAUUCGCUAUUUCCUUCAAUUCUAGCAUUAUGCGUCAUCUUACGAUAUUAUUCAAAAAACACACACAUACAUUGCUCUAUUUGGGCUUGGUAAAUGCCAUUUUCCUUAUUCAAUGUAUUCUCCCCCCUCGGAAUAAUGCAAUUUCUUGAGAACGUUCAACAAGAUGAAGUGAUCUCAAGGUCUUUCUGGAAAAGAAUAAAGAUAAUUCGGUGAGAACAACACUAACUUACUCCAUUUUAGGUAGCAUUGAUUGCAUCUUUGUCACUGUUAUGGUGUGGAAACCCAGGUUUCUUCUCUCCCUCUCCCUAAUUCAUGCGUGAAUGUGACUGAAAGAACAACGCUCGAUCGACACUUGACAGCAUUCAGAAAACAGCCACUGAUUUCCAAUAUUCCCUGUGGUCCCUCAUAAUAAGUGAGAGCAUGAAUCCUUCCAUCUACCAAGGUUUUCUUUCCAAAUGCAUUUGCUCUCAUUUCAGCUGCAAUCCCUCUAACCGUUUCAGAACCAACCAAAUUUUCCAAUGUUAAUUAAUUAGUCCCAGACUCACGUAUCGGCGUUGCAAAUAAGCAAUUACUGCUGACAAAAAAGUCAGUUAUUGGUUUUUUUUUUAAUUCAUUUUAAAAACAGACGGACGCUUUAUUGGUUUCAUUUUUAAAAUAAAUAGAUAUAAGAUGAAAUAAGAUUAAAUUCAGAAUCCAUUGAAAAUGAUAAAGAACAUUCAUUUCCCUUCCCAAGGUUGCCUAGUUUUUUUUCCAAUUGAUGCUAUAUAUAUCAAGUUCAGUGUUGUUGUUCAUCUUAAAAAACGUUUUAAUAUUAUUGUUAUUUUUUUUUAUUAACGUGGGUGUUCAGGCGAGCUUACGCGCACCUCAACUAAUCUCAUGAGCCCUAAAGCUAACAACCAUGUAAGUCUCCAAUGGCCCUCAGGUUUAUGAAACUUUAACUGGUGAUCUCUAAAGAGUAAACCUAGAGUCUAACCAGUUAAACUAUAUUCUUCGGGGUUGUAUUAUUGUUUCUCAUUACACUAGACAUUAACUUGUGAACUUUAAAUUUUUCAUCUGAAAUUUUAGGAAGAAGCUUGGAAGAAGCUUGGUUUGAUUUAUUCACUGUAAGGAUGACAAUAGGUAUUUAAGAGUCUAUUUUCAACUAUAUUCAUAAAUGAGUAACGAAAAUUCUCACAUACUCGUACCUAAUUCAUAAAGAUAUCCAUAUAAGUAUUUAUUAUUUAAAAGCUAUUUAUUAUUCAAUAUAAAAUAAAACAUAGUAAUCUAUAUAUACACACAUUUGAGGUGUGUGUAUUAAAUGAUAAAAUUAUAAAUGUAGUGUGUGUAUAUAUAUAUAUAUAUAGGAUUAAAAUAUUAAGAUGAUUUUGAGAUACAUCAAGGGUAUCUCAGAUGUUAUAUUAUGUUAUAGAUUAAAAUUCACUAUCAGAGGUUACGUUGAUUUAUAUUUUGUUGGUGACCUUAAGAGAGGAAAAUUCAUUUAAAGCUAUGUGUCCAUGAUUGUAGGAAAAAUUGUGAGUUGAGUUUCUAAAUUAAAAUUUUUUGUAGCUUUAUUCAUAACAUAAGCUAAGUACAUGACAACUACCCAAGGUUGUAAAGAAGCAAAACGACGAAGAAGACUCAUGGAGGAGCUUGGGCACAAACACGAAAAGAUUUUAUUGUAUUAUGAUAGUCAUAGUGUCUUGUAUAUUGUAAGAAAUCCAACGUUUCAUUUAAAAACAAAACACGUAAAUGUCCAAUAUUAUUUUGUUCGUGAAAUGACAAAAGAUGGAAGUGUGGGUUUUCAAAAGAUUUACAUCAAGAAAAACCUAAUAAAUAUUUAGACUAAACACUACCAGAAAAUUGAUAAAUACAAACGGAAAUACCGAGGGAAUUACCGUGGGAAAAAAAAUUAAAACAAAGCAAAAAAAAAUGAUGACGUGUCAUUUUUACCAACAGAAUUACCGACGGAUUUACCGAUGGAAUUUCUUCCGUCGGUAAUUCUGUUGGUAAAUUUGUUGGUAAAAAUAUGAACACUGUUCAUCAUGUCAAUUACAAAGGGAAUCACCGACGGAAUUGUCUGUCGGUAUUUUCCAGAGAGCUCCAGAACUGUUCACAUUCCAAUUGCACUGUUAAUUGUUGUUCUUUACGGACAAAAUCACCGACGGAUUGAAAAGUCGUCGGUGUUAUUUGGCGGUUUUCUGAAAAAAUUCAAUUAAUUUAAAAUUUUCAUUUAAAUAUUACAGACGGAAUCACCGACGGAUUGAAAAAUCGUCGGUAAUUUUUUGGCGCUUUCUAUAAACUUUUUACGAAAUUGAAAAUUUAAAUUAAAUAUUACCGAUGGAAUUACCGACGGAAUAAUUAAAAAUAUUAAUAUUCAAUUAUCCGUCGGUAACACGCCCCAAUAAAAAACCUGAAUCCCCUUAUUUCACAAGAGACAGACCCAUUUCUUAUUCUUCUUCUUCUUCUUCUUGUUCUUCUACUUCUUCUUCUUCUACACUAUAUGUAAAAAACAUCAUUAAGGUAUGUCUUCUUCUUCUUCUUCACUAUAUGUAAAAAACAUAAUUUCUUAUCCAUUUCUUUCUCUUCUUUUCUCUCCUCUAUCUCCUUUUCUUUUCCUCCAUGCUUGGGUAUGUCUUCUUAUUCUUUCUUCUUUUAUCCUUUUAGUUUUUUUUUAAUUAAUAUGCUUAACGAAAUUUUUUUUCUCUCCUUAGCUUCACUUGCAACUACAUUAAGGUAAGAUUUUUCUUUUUUCAUGAUUUUUUUCACUAUAUUUGUUUUUUAUUUUAUUUUUAAUUGUUUUUGUUCUUAAUAAUUGUAUAAAUGUUGUUGUGAGAUUUUUUUUUUCAUAUGAGAUCAAUUUUUAGUAGAUUUAUUUAUAGGAUUUUUAAAUUUUUAGCAAUUGCAACUUUAUUUUUUUCAUAUGAAUUUUUUUAGUUGAAUUUAUUUUUUUGUUUUAUUUAUUUGUUGCAAAUUUGUUUGAGUUGAUUUUCUUAUUCUUUUUUCCAAGCAUUUUGAGUAUAUAUUAUACAGUGUUAAUUUAUGUUAAUUUAAUUAUUUUAUAAUUUUAUAAAAUGAAUUUUUUUAAAAAUGUUUUUAAAUAAUUACCGACAGAAUUACCGAUGGAAAUUCCAUCGGUAAUUCCGUCGGUAAAUCCGUUGGUAAUAAAAAAAUAUUAUUACCGAGGGAUAUACCGACGAAAUGAAGCGGAUAAAUUUAUUUUUUAUUACCAACGGAUUUACCGAUGGACAAAAAAUUACCAACGAAAGAUUCACCGACGGAGCAUUUCCGUUGGUGAUUCCGUCGGUAAAUUAAUUACCGACGGAAUAUGUGUUUUAUGUCGACGGAAAAAUUUUGUCGGUAAAACUGUUAAAUCUUGUAGUGAAACUAGCAACACUAACAAGUAUAUAUAGUGUAUAACCUUAUAUGGCCUAGUAGAAACACAGGUAGCAUAAAGAUAAAAAAAAUAUAUAAAAAAUAAAUAAUCAAGUGUGAAGACAUGAUUAAAAUCAAAAUUUCCAUCAAAAUUCUCAAGUGGAAGAAUAUUGAGCGUGCAUGCCGGUUGGCACUGAAAGUUGCUCAAUUAUGGGCAACUUUCGAUGCACCAUUUGUUUGAUGCCUUUUAAUGAGGGCAAGAUGGGAAUCUGCAUUACAUGCCUUUGAUGCACAACAUACAAGAGAGAGAGACGACUGAAGGAGAGAAAUUUCAUAAAAUUAUGAGAUAUUUGGGAGAAUGUAUGUGAUAUUUUUUUUAUUUAUGUGGGUGUUCGGACCAGCUUAUACGCACCACGACUAAUCUCACGGUCCACUAAACAUCCUGCAAACCCAGUGAACAUGUAAGACACCGCGGUGAUGACAGGCGUGCACAAUGAGGUUCGAACCCGGAUGCAGAGGAAGAGAACAAGUCUCUACCAUCACUAAGCCAAUACCUCAAGUGCGUACGUGAUAUUUUUAUUUCUAUUGAAUGAGAGAUUUUCAAUGAUUUUUUUAUUAAAAAAAAGUGAUUAUAAUUUCGAUGUUACAUAGAAAAAUUCUUUUAUACUUAGUCGUAAAUAUAGCUAAAUUUAAAUAAAUUCUUCAACUUUUCUUUUUUUCUUUUCUUUUCUUUUCAAAAGGUACAUUCUGAGCUGCUAGUAAAAAUCCUCGAUCUUAAUAGCGCUGCCAGUCUACCACUAUAACACAUUCCAUCAUCGCUCAAUUGUUUUACUGUAUUUUUAGUGUUUCGGCAGGUUACUGUCAAGUCUAUAUAUGUGGUAGCUCCUGCUAUUAGAUUGUUAGAAUGUGCAAAUCAAAUAACAAAAUUAAUAAGCCUACUAAUAUCUCUCAAGAAUUAAUGGGCUGUGAAUGGAUUUUGCCUAGAAUUUUAGAAGCAUUUUGGUUCUAUAUCCCAUUUUCCGUCUAGCUUCCGGCACCCUUUAACCACACUCGUCUAAUUACCCAAAACAUUAAUUAAGGACAAAUUAAUAAACCCUUAAUUAUGUGCUAUUUGAUGAAUAGAAUGUAAAGUGAAGAAUCAUUAAUUUACGACAAAAAUUAAUUGCAACAUGGCAUGCAUUAAUUGGGCCAAUUAUUUAUCCAUUAAUUUUAGCAUUUUAGUUCAUGUUAUCAGUAAAUUAUUUUAGUUUAUAUGAAUGGAAUUAUAUCUUCAGACAAACUCUACUAAUAAUAUUAAAAAAAAAACUCAUUAAUAAAAAGUUAUCAUAAAUGUUUUUCCAUAUCUAUAUUUUUAAUAUUUUGUGCAUGUGUAAUUGAAAUAAAUUCAUUGAAAUAAAAGAAUUCAAAAAAAAAAAUGCUAUUAUUAUCAAGUUAGAAGUCAAUGAAGACCUCAUAAGAUUUUUAGUCAUUUAUGUAUUUGUGUUAUUUAUGGACUUUGCUUGAACAAAGGACUAAUUGAAUAAAAAUAUAAUUCACAAAUUUGAGUUUUUAUCAUACAAUCAAACCAAUUUUUAUUUUAAAUAAAAAUGACAAGAUAUUUUCUUAAUUAAAAUAGUUAUUUACAUGCAUUUUUCUUCUUUUUUUUUCCUUGAAUGGACACGAAAUUCUCUUGUAUGGUACAAUAUAAAGAAUAUUGUUUUAACUAUGCUUAUAAAAUAAAAUUAUACUAAAUUUCUAAAGCAUAUAUUUUAGAUUUUUUUAUUAACAUGGGUGUCCGGGCUACUUUGCGCGCACCUCGACUAAUCUCACAGAUCCUAAAGUUAAUGACCAUACAAGCCUCCAGUGACCACCAUAUUAGCAACCAUAGAGCUCGAACCUGAGACUACAGGGAAGCAAACUUCUUGGUCCAAAGUUCUUACCACUAGAACACCUUUUAGAUAAUUAUAUAUUUUAGAUUUUUUAUAAUAUAUAUAUAUAUAUAUAUAUAUAUAUAGUAUUUCAAAUUAAUAACUAUUAAAUUCAUGAAAAAAGAGUAAAAAUAUAUAGUUGGAUGAUAUAUUUGCAAAUUACAUGUCAAGAAAAUUUAGCAUAUAAUACUAUUCGUUUCCGCAACACGUUGUAUAUCCAUGGCAAGAUCACAAGAACUUCUUGAAUCCAUACGUUUCUGAGUGUUCUGUGAGGUGGUGCCUAUUAAAAGCACCAUUCCUUUUAGUUUUUUCUUGGUUAAUAUCACGUACGUAUGGUGGGUUGGUAGCUAGAGUCUGCGGCCAUUUUUAUGGCAGAUGUGGACGGAUGCUUGAUUUUCUGGUUGAGUGGGAGGGUGGAAUUAAUAGAAUGUUUGUACUUGAGUGUGAAAUUUAGUAAUUCGGAUUUUUGAUGGAUCAUACCCUCUUGAAGCCUCGCCUUUCUAGCUUCAAGACACCUCGCAUGGUCUAACGAGGAUAGUUUCUCCCCUUUCAGGUUGAUUAAAUUAAGAAUAUUCCAACCAUCUAGGUGGUGACCCAGUAAUAAAAGCUUAGAACUAAGAGGUUUGCUCUCUUUGUGGUCUCAGGUUCGAGCCCUGUGGUUGCUCAUAUGAUGGUCACUGGAGCCUUACAUGGUCGUUAACUUAAGGACCCGUGGAAUUAGUCGAGAUGCGCGCAAGCUGGCCCGGACACCCACAGUAAACUAAAAAAAAAAAUUAAAAGUAUUCCGAUGAAUGAAGGAGAAAACCAGUACUACCCAGAUUGUAUUAAGAAAAAACUAAAACUGCUCAGUGUUUCACUGUGCAAGUCCACAGUGAAACGCUGAGCAGUACUCUCCUUUUUUUCUUUCUUUUUUUCGUUUUUUUUUCCCAUUUUUUUUUCUGUUUUUAUUUUUUUCCCUUUUUUUUCUUUUUUUUUUCGUUUUUAUUUGUUUUUAUUUUUUUUUUAUUUUUUCCCAUUUUUUUCUGUUUUUUUUUUUUGGUUUUCUAUGCCUUUAUGGGUUUUUUUUUUUUUGCCUUUUUCUUUGUGUAUUUUUCUUUUAAUGAAUUUUUUUUGUUUAAUUUAAUUUUUUAAUGUUAAUUUUUUUAUUUAGUUAUCAAAUUGUUAAUUUUUUUAUUUAGUUAUCAAAUUUUCAUAACACGGAUCCCGAGUUUGACCGGUUAACCUGAUUUGACGAGUUAACCCGAAUUUUUUUUCUUUUCUUUUUAAUUAAUUGUAACAUAUACUAAAACGGAUCAGUGUUUUACUGUUGACUGCAUUUUNNNNNNNNNNNNNNNNNNNNNNNNNNNNNNNNNNNNNNNNNNNNNNNNNNNNNNNNNNNNNNNNNNNNNNNNNNNNNNNNNNNNNNNNNNNNNNNNNNNNNNNNNNNNNNNNNNNNNNNNNNNNNNNNNNNNNNNNNNNNNNNNNNNNNNNNNNNNNNNNNNNNNNNNNNNNNNNNNNNNNNNNNNNNNNNNNNNNNNNNNNNNNNNNNNNNNNNNNNNNNNNNNNNNNNNNNNNNNNNNNNNNNNNNNNNNNNNNNNNNNNNNNNNNNNNNNNNNNNNNNNNNNNNNNNNNNNNNNNNNNNNNNNNNNNNNNNNNNNNNNNNNNNNNNNNNNNNNNNNNNNNNNNNNNNNNNNNNNNNNNNNNNNNNNNNNNNNNNNNNNNNNNNNNNNNNNNNNNNNNNCACAAUGAAACAUUGAUCCGUUUCGCAAGGCAAUAUCACGAAUUACUUAUUUUUUUUAGCUGUUUUUUUAUGCCUUUCAGGAUUUUUUUUUUGCUUCUUUCUUUAUUUUUUUUCUUCUAACAAAAGGUUUUUGUUUAAUUUAGUUUAUUAAUGUUAAAUUUUUUUUAUUUAGUUAUCAGACUUUCAAGACACGUUUUCCGGAUUUAACGGGAUAACCUGAUUUGACAAGUUAACCCAGAAAUAUAUUUAUUUUGCUUUUUUUCUUUUUAAUUAAUUUUUUUCAUUUAGUUUAGUUUGUUAAUGUUAAAUUUCUUUCUAUUUAGUUAUCAGACUUUCAUGACACAUAUCUCGAGUUUCACUGGUUAACCUGGUUUCACGAGUGAACCCAGUUAAUUCUGGGUUGACCCGUCAAAUUUUUUUUUGUUUUUUAUUUUCAUAAUUUUUUUUGAUUAAUUUAGUUUGUUAAUGUUAAAUUUUUUUUAUUUAGUUAUCAGACUUUCAUGACACAGAUCCUAGGUUUAACGGGUUAAUAUGGUUUGACGAGUUAACCCAGAUUUUUUUUUAUUUUUUUUUUAAUUUUUUUCGUUUAGUUUAGUUUGUUAAUUUUCACUUUUUUUUAUUUAGUUACCAGACAUUCAUGACACGGAUCCCGGGUUUAACGGGUUAACCUGGUUUGACGAGUUAACCUGGAAUUUUUUUUUUGCUUUUUUUUUUUAUUUUUAAUUAUUUUUUUUUCGUUUAGUUUAGUUUGUUAAUGUUAAAUUUCUUUCUAUUUAGUUUUUUUUUUCUUAGAGGUUUUUUUCUUUUAUUUUUUCUUUUUAAUUAAUUUUAUUUAAUUUAUUUAGUUUAUUAAUAUUAAAUUUUUGUCUAAGUAGUUCUCGGCGGAUGCCUUUAGUUUUUUUUUGUUGUUUUUAUGCAUUUGACCGUGGACUGUACAGUACAGUCCUCAGUAAAAAGGCUCAUAGUUUAUUUUUGUUUUUUUCUUUUUAAUUAAUUUUUUUUAAUUUAAUUGUUAAUGUUAAUUUUUUUUCUAUUUAGUUAUUAAACUUUCAUGACACGGAUUCCGGGUUUGACAGGUUAACCUGGUUUGACGAGUUAGGCCAGUUAAUUCUGGGUUAACCCAUUAGUUUGUUUUUUUUCCUUUUUAAUUAUCAAACUUUAACGAUGCGAAUUCAAGGUAUGACGGGUUAACCUGGUUUGAAGGGUUAACCCAGUUAAUUCAUAUUCUUUUUCUUUUUCUUCAUUAGUUUUUAUUUUCCUGUUGGUUUUUUUUCUUUGUUUUUUUCUUUUUAACUAAUCUAUUUAAUUAUCACACAUUUAUGACACGACCUUGCAGCUAGACCCACGUCCAAUGCUAUUGGGUCUGGUAUUGCAGUCAAACCCACUUAAAUUUAGACCAUGCAAGUUUAAUUUUAUUAUUAAUAUUAUAAAUAUUACUAUUAGAUUAGGCGUUGCAACUAAACUUAAGACUCUUGGGUAUAACUUUGCAAAAAAACCUAAUACUUUUAUAUCUUAACUUUUUAUAAAAUGCAAAAAAUAAUUGACCCGCGGCAUCUCGCGGGACAUGUAACUAGUUUCUACUGUUUUCGGAUGUUCGUUCUAGUGAUUUUUGUUCGGCUUCGCUGGCCCAAAGGAUUAUAAGUUUAUUUCUAGGCAUCUUGUUUGUAAGGUGGGAAUCAUGCUCGCCAUUAGUGAAUUAAACUCCAUUUUUAUAUAUAUAAUGCACCUGGCUUCAAUCUUUUAUCAUAAAGAUUUUGGCAACUGGAGUUCCACCAUGUACAGAUACGAUAUCACGCAGCAAGAUUUAUGCUUCACGCAGCAAGAUUCAUGCUUCAAUAAUGUUCUGAGUAACGCUACUCAAAAAAGAUCAUAUAAAAUCUUAUUUAAUUAUUCAUAUAUAAUGUAUAAAAUCUCUUCAAAAUUAACAAUUUUCUCAUAGUUUGUCUUCAUGAAUUAUAAGCAUACCAAUAGUAAAAUUAUAAUUUUGAACAUGGUACUAAUUAAUAAUUUCUAACGUGAUAAGCAAGUUUGCAAAUUGCAGACCCUAUCUUAUAAUAACGACGAAUUUUUUUCAAUAGAGAAUAUGCUUUCAACUCUAACAGUCAUUUAAUAAAUUAUUUAUUAAAAAUAAAUUCAUCAAAACAAGGAACAUGUCUAUGAGAAGAGUAAGCGUGAACUAAGUCCAGACAUGUUUACAGUUUAGGUUGGUGCUAGCGCAAGCUAAUCCAAAGAGGACCUGCAGACACUUGUAGAACAUGUUCACAAAAUUUCAAAUUAAUUCAAUAAUUAAUCAGAUAAAAAAUUAUACUUAUUUAACUUAUCCAGACUUUUUCUUAGAAUUGGAUUUUUUAUAUGCAUCUCGUGCUAGAUAAAAAUAUUUCAAGAGUUGAAUAAGGCUAAAAAAAGAUAACCUUGUUCUGUACUAUUCAGUAAAUAAUUAGAUUUCAUUUUUGUAAUUUGGGGUAAAAAUAGGUAUUAUAAAUAUGUUAAAUAAUUUGACAAACAAUUCUGUAUUUCUAACACAUUAAAAACUAUAUAUAAAAAGAAAAACAGAUCUUGUUUGUUUUUGUGUUUUAAAAAUAUUUUAAAAAAAAUUUAAAAUUUUUUUAUUUUUUUUCUUCAAAUUAAUAUUUUUUUAUGUUUUUAUUAUUUUUUAAAAAUUAUUUUUUAUAUUAAUGCAUUAAAAUAAUCUAAAAAUACUAAAAAUAUAUUAAUUUAAAAUAAAAAAAAUAAUCAUAACUACAAUAAAUAAAUAAAUAAAUAAAUAAACCCUUCUUUCUAUUUUUUACUGUCUUUUUCCUUGGUAAAGAAAAGCAGUGAUAUAGUUUUCACUUGCUGUGUGGGAUAAGACAGGUACCUCGAAGGAGCGUGGACAAGAACUGUUUACAUUGACUGAAUGGAGCUAUAAUCCAAGGGCCGGGAUCUUCUGCUUCAGGCACGUGAGAUGCACAGAGUCAUUCAAUGGAUCGAUAAUACAGAGAGCGACAGCCUCAUGAAAUUCAGGUACGUAUUAGCAUCUUUCAUUUAUGAAUCGCCACCCUUAUCUUAUAUUACUGUAUUUCAUAUUUAUUUAUUUUAAUGGCUUCCACACCAAUAUAAGCAUGGUGGGAGUUGUGGCUCAAAGCUUAUGAGUCCAGAUUUAUCAACCUUCAACCACCUGCCCCACCCCUCUCUUUGCCCCUUAAUUCUCCAGGAUCAACUGCAUAAAAACAAAACGGAACCAGAAUAAAUCAGAAACACACGCACACAUGGAAGGUAUCUCUGCUAGCAUGUACACGAAGAUGAAAGGGUACUGGAGUAGGAGAGGGUACGAGAGGAUAAACGGGUCGGGUCGGAUUCGUAGGAAGCGGCCGGUGGAGCUAGGCUCGGGUAGCUCGACUUCAAGGGGGAGGGGGUUUAGUUUGCGGAUCAAGAUCAAGCCGAAGCUUAAAAUCCUCAAAAUGUCUUCUCCGAGGAAGUUCUUUGUUUGGCUGCGGGAUGCCUACGUGAAGAUGAUGCUUGGGCUUGCUAAUUCCAGGGCAAUAGGUACUUCAGGGUACGGUGACGCGUUUGGUGCACGCCGCCCAAUCAAGGAGUAUGAUGAGAAGAUGAUCGUUCAGAUCUACAAGUCGUUGGUGAUGACACAGGGCCAGUUGGUGCCACACGACGCAGCCAGGUUCGGCUCCAUGUCUAAACUUACUGCUAUUUCGGAAUAGCUGGCAGUGGAGGUUUUUUGUUUUUUUUUUUUUUUGUCUUUUUAAUGGUCAAAUAAAUCAACCCAUAAACUCCCAGAGGAAAGAGGGAAAAGAUUAUUUUCGGGUUUAUAAUAUAAUGUCCUUGUAAUUGCAACAAGUAGAUUAAUUCUUCAGGUGGCAAUAAACCUAGUUUUUUAGUCACCCCUCACUCACGAAAGAGAGGAUUUUAUAUUUCUUACUUUUUUACUAAUGGUUAGAGGGAUCAGCCAUUUUUCAUGAUGGUUGUAUAAUUAGUGAAUAAAAAGAUGAAAUAAACAUAUUGUGCAAGUCAUGCGCAUCAAACCCACUUUCUUGAUAUAGACCAGCUAUCAAUAUUAAAUGGCUUUGCUGCUUAGUGGUCCUCGACAGGAGAGUGACCACCGAGCAGCAAAGCCAUUUAAUAUUGAUAGCUGGUCUACAUCUUGUUGACAUACGCGACCAAAAUAAUAAUGAAACAUGAAAAUUGUUUAAGGAAAAACCAAAAUAAAAUUGACCGUUUGACGUGUCGCAAAAUGGCUGUCAGAAAUCUUGAAGAUGGGAACCAGACAUGUGCAGUGCACCGGUAAGGCGACUCCUGCCGGUGGCUUAGCUUACAGAGAGGAGGGCAAUCUCUAAAGCCAAAGGAUACAAGAUUCAUAGUCAUGAUGGCUUAAAAAUAUUUGAGCAGAAUAAGAAAUAUUAAGAAUUUAUAGCUGUUAAAUGAGAAUAUCCAGGAAUAAUUCUAUAGCAUUGAAGAUUAAUGUUUAAUUAAUGGGUUUCAAGAAAUUAUUAAGAAUACAUACCAAGAACUCGAAGCCCCAUGAUCCGGUAAUCUUAAAGGAUGCUUCAUUUCAAGAACAUGCAGGCUAGCUAGCUGGGGUGAUCACACUGGUUAGGACGGAAGCAAAUAUUAUUUCAACAUUUGCAUCUAAAUUAGUUCCCACUUGCACUCUCUUCUCCCAAAAAAACAUUGUCCAUUAAAAUAUUAUUUCAAUUUUGGGUAUAUACAUGCCGACACAGAUUCUUAAUUUCCACGCUGGUUCCAUUGCCCACGAAAUUAUGGUAUUUUAAUACACUCGCAUUUUAACUCUAUAUACAAACCCGUCCAAUUUGGACCAAACUAUUUGAUAGGAACUGGUAAUUAACUAACGAACUAAAUACCAAGAUGCUUUUUUAUUGAUCUGACCAAAUACCACACCGAAAAGGUUAAGAAAGACAAAUUGCAAUGGGAUUGCUUUGUUGUCUCUAUGUUUUUCAUUUUUUCCUCAGCUGUCUCGAGUUCAUUGGGUAGUCAUCGUAAUGCAUAAGUGAUGGCUGCAGCUCACCCAUCGGUCUCGGAAAAUUUUCUUGCACGACUGCAGAGGACCCUUUUCUGUAUAAUAUCAUAUAUUAUGCAAAUCAGCAAAUGCUCUUUAGCCAUUAAAAAAUUAGGUCGAUGUGAAUUAGAAUUGGGAUUCACCAGCCAUCCUCUUUAGCCAUCACAUAUACAAAGUUACCGAUGGUUUGCCGGGUCCAAGUUUAGGCCCGGCGGUUUGUUAGGGUAUAGAUGAAAAGUUGUAUACUUGUAUCUAUUAAAACUUUGCUUGAAAUAGAAUUGUGUGCUUUAAAAUUUAGAAAGUUGUAUCUUUUGUUUUAAAAGUUAGGUUAAAAUUAACUCUUUGAAUAGCAUAUAAAAAGAGACAAUUCUGACAUGGUUUUUACAAUGAAAAAAAUUUUUAAUCUUUCUAAAACUUUUUUUAAAAUAUUUAUUCGAUCGAAAUUCUCACAAAAAAUAACGUAUAAGUUUUGGUUCGAUAUUUAUUCUUGGUUGUGCUACCAAAAAUAAAAUAUUAAAUAAGCUUGAAUAAUAAUAUAUUAAGUAAGCUUGAAUAAUAAUAUUGCAAUCACACUGCUAGCUAGUAAAGAGCAAUCAAUAAAUUGUUUUAAGACUAGUGGGUUGGUGCUGCUUCAAUUUACUUCUCCAAGUUUAUUUUCUAUCAACAAGUAUUGUAAAUUAAUUUAUCUUUCGGUUGUUGAUUUAUAGACACAUUUUAUGUUUGGAAGAAAUCAGAUCAUAAGAGAUGAACUACAAUCUUAUAAACUAUUUAAAGUGUUUCAACAAUCUUAGAACAACUUAUUUCCUAAUAUCUUUGUGUGUAUGUGCAUGAUUAUACAUGGCAUAUAUAAUUUGUCCCAAAAAAAUGAUUAUGUGUUGACAUAGAUAAAAGAAAAUAAUGAUUCUAGUAGGAAAAGUAAAGUAUAUAUCUUCUGUUAAAUUCCCUGUUGUGUAUUCCCUGCAUACUUGUUGUAUUGAUUCUGCGGGGAAAGAAAUUUUGUGUUGCGUGAUAUUUUCCUUUUGCUGUUGUAUUGAUAGAAAAAAAAAGUUGAUAGAAAAAAAAAGUUGCAUAUGUUGAUACUAAUUACUGGUGAAAGAAUAUCUUUUUAAUGCAUUUCUAUUUAACUGAAUUCUUUUGUUUAAGAAGUUUAUUUGAAAUUAUAUUGUUUCUGUUAUAAGAAAAAAUGUUUUCUGUUGUGGGGGGGGGGGGGAAUCUGGUCUUGGAUUGUUACUCUUGUUGUACUCCAAGAGGAAUUCUUUGCAUAUAUAUAUAUAUAUAUGCUGGGAUUUGAACCCAGACAAUUGGAGAAAACCCAGCAGCCAUUGCUGGGUGCUGCAAGGUGUUUGAUGCCUUUGAAAAAUUAAUUUUGUGCAUUAAUCAAAUAACAGUUUGCAUUGUACAAUUAGUGCUUUUGUUUUGCAUAACCAGGGUGUUUAUUAAAUUGCCUAGCCCGUAACCUUUGGACUGCUAUAUGUUUUUUGAAAUUUGCAGGCAGUAUACUUAUGGAUAGAUACAAAAAAAAAAGUGUUUAUUUAAUUAUUAAAUUGUCUUUUGAAAAAUUAGUGUGUUAAUUUCUUAUGGUUCAUUUUAAUUAAUAUUAUUUGAGAUAUAUAAUUGUGAUAUAUAAUUGCAAAGUUAAUCUUGUUAUUGAGAUAACAUUUGGAUAAAACUAGUGUUAAUAAUUUCAAUGUACCAAUUAACCCGGUAAUCUUUGUGGUCUCAGUUGACUAUUUGGCAAACCCGAUUCCUAAACAUUCUCCACGUAGGAGAAAACCUAAAAUAAUUUAAAUAAGAAUGGUAAUAACGGUGGCAAAAAGAAGUUCAAAGAAACUUGCUUUAUUUGUAAAGAUCAAAAAAAUCACCAUAAGAAUUGUUGUUGGAAAGGGAAGAAUGCAUAAAAGGAAACAAUAGCACAACAUUUUAUUUUAUAUUAUGAAUAAAAUAUCUUAUAAGAAAUUGAACAGGACACGUUGUGUGUUUUGGAAUGGUCAAUCACCAUCCUAUAAAUAAAUACAUGAAAGUAUGAGAGUAUCUAAAAAAACUUACGGUUUCUCCACACAAAAAAAUCAAAAUAUAGAUUAUAUUAUAUGAAAUAUCCAAUUAGUUAUAUUUAAAGGGUAUAGCGAUGUUAAUCAAAUAAUUGAUACUAAAGAUUCAAAAUCCACAAAAUGGAUUUAUCUUUACUAUUGGAGAAGUUAUGGCCUAUUGAAAAUUCUCUAAAUAAACAUGCAUAUCCAAAUCCAUAAAGGAAUUUGAGUUUAUAGCUUUGGACAAAGAUAAAAAAGAAGCAGAGUAGCUUCUAAAACUUUUUUGAGGAUAUUCCAAGUUAGCCAAGAUUUUAUGCCGACAAUCUGUAUAUAAAAUAUUAUAUAUAACAAUAAAUCUUGGUACAAUUGUCAUAGAUACAAUACCGUAGGAUAGUUGCUUUCAAAGAGGAUUAUUUUUAUUGAUUAUGUAGAGUUAAAGAUAAUUAAAGCCUAUAUUAUCCUAUAUUUAAAUAAUUUACAUGAUGGCAACCCAACUUAGUUGACUGGAGAUCUUAAGAUCUAAAUUUAAAUGAAUAAUUAAAUCAUGUGUCAAUUCAGUAGUUGCACUCUUACUCAUUUCUACGAUAAAAAGUGCUACAUGUAGUGAAAACCAGAAUAAGUUAAGUUUUUAAUGAUUCUUAUAACUUUAUAAAGGAGUAUUGUUGGAUGUUCUCAAUAAGAAUCAUAUAUGUGGAUGUGAAACAAGACCACUUUUAUAAGAAUUGAAAAUGUUAAAUUGUCUAAAGCACUCUCUGAAAUCAGGACGUGUUUGGGGUCAAAAUGAACAUAAAUGUGAGAAUCAAAAUUGUAGGGAGAGGAAUUGUGUGAUUUCUAUUGCCUGGGUUUACAUGAAAAGCUUAACAAUUCAAGACAUCAUAUUCACUGGUUAGCCGAGUGAAUUCAAUAGUUUUCGCUGAAAAAAAUUUAGGACCAAAAGCUAUCUUGCCCAAUAUAACAACUUUUCGUUAUUACUUUCUAUUUUCGUUUGUAUUUUAUAUUUUAUUCUAAUCAAAUAAUUUUUAUUCAUGUAAGAGAAUGUUAGGACAUGAAUGAAAAGUUAUGCAUGUUAAAACUCAAUUUGAAAUAGAAUUGUAUUUUUUUAAACUAAAAAGUAAUAUCAUUUUGUUUUAAAAGUUGUAUUAAAAUUAACUUUCGGAAUUACCAAAAAAAAAAAACAAUUCUGGAAUGAUUUUGAUUUUGACAAUGAAUGUGCUUUGUAAAUCUCUUCUCUUUUACAUUCAUUCAAAAUUCUUACAUGUAAUAAUAUAUAAACUCUUGUUCGUGGUUUAUUAUUGGUAAAGAUUGAAUAAUUAUAUGAAACAGUUCUUUUGAGGACAAAAUGUUACAUGGCACCGUCCAAUCAAAUUAGGUGGUGGAGUGGAUCGUGAUAUGAUAAUGGGUUAUACAGUGAACCUAAAGUAGGUGAUUGUUCUCCUUUCCUUACCUCGGCUUUUAUGAAACGCAAGAGUUAAAAUCUUGUGUGCUUCCAUUUGUGCGAUGUCCCAUCGCCAUUCUCCCCCCCUCCACUAAACUUUUUUUUUAUUUGGUAAUUGUUGUAGGGUUUAUACAUGUUUUAUAUAUAUUUUAAUUAAUUUUUUAAGAUUCUAAAGUUUACAUAUAAAUUUUCAAUAAUCUUAAGAUUUGUAGUAUUUAAAAUGAUAAUCUUUACAAAGCAAAUCCAAAACUUGAUCAGUUAAACUACACCCUACCACUAAACUUGCUUUCACUAACUAUGGGUUUAUGGUUUCGUUUUUAUUUUGCAUUCAUAUUUUUUAAAAAAAACUAUAAUUUAUUUAUUUUUUUGUGAAUUUAUUAGGAUUAUAUCAUAGUUUUAAGACCCGGGUUCCUGGUUUUGACCGGGUCAUCGGGUCAAUUUUUUUUUUUAAAUCAAAACGACGUCGUUUUAGUAAAAAAAAAAGUCAACGGAUUUGUAAUCGGGUCUUGCCGGGUCAACCCCCGCCGGGUUAGCCGGGUAACACCGGGUUUUUCCUUUCCCUGUUUUUUCUUCAACCCGGCCCGGUUCCAGUCCCGGGUCGGCCGGGUCCUGGAUCGAGCCGUCAGGCCGGGCCGGGUUUCAAAACUAUAGAUUAUAUAGAUGGUUUGUCCAAUUAAGAUUUUAUCAGGAAAGAGCUCAGCUGCAAUAUUAAAAACUAAUUAAUUGUAUUAUACCUUGAUCUUUGCCGUUCCUCGUAGCGUGGAACCUUUUUAACGAUAAUAAACACAUGCUUUUUCUUUAUAGAAAAUAAGUUUCUAUUUUAAUUCCUAAAAGAAUACCAUGCAUGCGAAUUGCAAAUAAAAUAUAAAUUUAUUUAUUUUAAUCAAAUUACCCCAUACCUUAGAAAGUAUAAGACACUCGAAUUUUUGUGUGUUUUUUACUGGAUUAUCCGGACUUUUUUCUUUCAUUUUUUUAAAACUUAAUUUGAUUCCGGUUUUGGAUUAUUCCGGUUUUUUAAUCUUUUGCGAAUGCUUGCAAGCAUACAGAUAUUUCCACUGCGUAUGAUCAUAACUUCGUCAGUCAAUUACUUAAAUUAAAAUUAUUUCGGGGAAAUCUCUUUGUUUUGAUACUUCUGUCACAGAAAAAAAAACAUCGAAAACCUUCGUAUGCUAGGAAAUUAUUUGUUUGAUGAAAAAUAAUUUUUUUAAGUAGUUUUUUUAGAAAUUAAAUUCUUGAAAAUAAAUUAUUUUUUGAUAUUUGAUAGUGUUAUAAAAAAUAAAUUGAAAAAUAUUUUCCAAUGUUUGGUUAUGUCAUGGAAAUGACAUGAAAAAUAACUUAUUAAUGUUUUAUUUUUUAAAAGUUUUUUUAAAAUAAUAAGGAAUAAAUCUUACAAAUUAAAAAGUUGAAUAAAAAUGAAAAAAAUUCUAAUUUUAUAAAUUAUCUCAAAUAAAAUAAAUAACAAUCAAAAUAAUAGAGAUGAAAUCUAAUAGAUAAAAAAAUUAAAAGAUAAUGAAAUUAAAAUAAUUAUAAUUAUAAUUUCAUAAAUUAUUUCAAAUAAAAUAAGUACCAAUCAAAAUAAUGAGGACUAAAUUUGAUAGAUAAAAAAUUUCAAUUAAAAAAUUAAUAAGAGAAAAGCAAAUAACAAUCGUAAAAAUAAAACCAAAGUUUAUAUAAAAAUCAAUUCUAAUGGAUAAAUUUGAAAAAAAAAAUACGAAACAAAAUAUAUAACAACUAAAAAUUUGAGGAUCAAAUUUGAUAUAAUCAGUAAAUAAUAUGACAUUUCUAAAUUUUUUCACAACUUCUAGAAAGUGUUUUCCACCCAAAAUAAAAAGAAAAUAUUUUUCUGAUAAUCAAGUCAAAUGUUUUCUCGAUUGAAAAAUAUUUUUUUAAUAGUAAAUAAACACAAAAAAAAAUAUAAAAAGCAAUUCUCUCUUCGUGAUAAUGAGAUUCCAUUGAUUAUUAUGAACUCAAUGAUUGAGUUUUUUUGCGCUCACUGUGUUGUUCCUGGCUGUGACAUCCUUUUGCCUUUUGUUGAUCUGACGUCAUUGCUAGUACGUCAUUGAUCAUGUUAACUUUAACAAUCCGACUUCAUUUUAAUUAUAUUAUUACAAUUAUAUUAUAAUUACAAUUACACUGUAAAUCAUCGUGAACCAAUUAAGGUAUAUUUAAAUGUUCAUUGAAACAAUGGAAUGAAACUUUUGCUCUAUCAAACAAAAAAAUCGAAAAUUAUAUUAUUACAAUUAUAUUAUAAUUACAAUUACACUGUAAAUCAUCGUGAACCAAUUGAGGUAUAUUUAAAUGUUCAUUAGUGAAAUGACUUUAUUACUUUAAAAAACAAAAAAAAAAGUAUAAGUCUUUGAUGUAGGGGAUUUUUUUGUCUUUUUGAUAUUAUUUGCAUAAUUAAAUUAUGAUGAUACCCUUGUUAUGACAAGUUAAAUCGAGUGAAAAAUAUAAAAUUACAAGGGAAAAAAUCACCAUUCAAUUUUAUAAUUACAAAAACCUCUAACUAGUUUUUUAGAGUUUCUAAAUAAAAAUCUGGUUAUUCUAAAAGAAAAAAAAUUAUUAUCCUAAAAUACAUUAUUAAAAAUAAAUUGUAUUAUUAAUUGUUUUUUAUUACUAAGAAUUUGUUGCGUCAAUGGUUUUCUUAUACGAUAAUAUCAAGUUAGCUGUGAGGAAUCAGUGUUUUACUGUGGACUGCACAGUGCAGUCCACAGUAAAACACUGAUUCCUUAGGCUUUUUUUUAUUAUUAUUUUAUUUUAAGUUGUUUAAUUUUUUUAGCUGUUUUUUUUAAUGAUUUUUGGGAAUUUUUUUUUGCUUCUUUCUUUAUUUUUUUAAUUAAUUUUUUUCGUUUAGUUUAGUUUGUUAAUGUUAAAUUUCUUUCUAUUUAGUUAUUAGACUUUCAUGACACAUAUCCCGAGUUUCACGGGUUAACCUGGUUUCACGGGUGAACCCAGUUAAUUCCGGGUUGACCCGUCAAUUUUUUUUUAUUAUUAUUUUCAUAAAUAUUUUUGUUUAAUUUAGUUUGUUAAUGUUAAAUUUUUUUUUAUUUAGUUAUCAGACUUUCAUGACACAAAUACUGAGUUUAACAGGUUAACAUGGUUUGACGAAUUAACCCGGAUUUUUUUUCUUUUUAAUUAAUUUUUUUUGUUUAGUUCAAUUUGUUAAUGUUCACUUUUUUUUAUUUAGUUACCAGACAUUCAUGACACGGAUCCCGGGUUUAACGGGUUUACUUGGUUUGACGAGUUAACCUGAAUUUUAAUUUUUUUUGCUUUUUUUUUUCUUUUUAAUUAUUUUUUUCGUUUAGUUUGGUUUGUUAAUGUUAAAUUUCUUUCUAUUUAGUUUUUUUUCUUUUAUUUUUUCUUUUUAAUUUUAUUUAUUUAAUUAAUUUAGUUUAUUAAUAUUAAAUUUUUUUCUGAGUAGUUCUCAGCUGAUGCCUUUAGUUUUUUUUUAUGCCUUUGACUGUGAACUGCACAGUGCAGUCCACAGUGAAAAGGCUGAUGCUUUUUUUUUUAAUUAAUUUUUUUCGUUUAAUUUAAAUUGAUGUUAAAUUUUUUUCUAUUUAGUUAUCAAACUUUCAUUACACGGAUUCCGGGUUUGACAGGUUAACCUGGUUUGACGAGUUAGCCCAGUUAAUUCUGGGUUAACCCAUUAAUUUGUUUUUUUAUUUUUAAUUAUCAAACUUUCACGAUGCGAAUUCAAGGUAUGACGGGUUAACUUGGUUUGAAGGGUUAACCCAAUUAAUUUAUCUUUUUUUUCUUUUUUUUUCAUUAGUUUUUUUCUUCCUGUUGGUUUUUUUUUUUAACUAAUCUAUUUAAUUAUCACACUUUUAUGAUACGACCUUGCAGCCAGACCCACGUCCAAUGCUAUUGGGUUUGGUAUUGCAGUCCAGACACUUUUAUGCUAAGGGUUAACCCAAGUUUAAUGUUAUUAUUAAUAUUAUAAACAUUACUCUUGGGUCAGGCGUUGCAACCAAACCUGAGAUUCUUGGAUAUAACUUUGCAAAAAAACCUAACACUUUUAGAUCUUGGCUAUUUUUAAAAUACAAAAAAUAAUUGACCCGCGGCAUCGCGCGGGGCAUGUAACUAGUCAAGUUAACUAUGAUGAAUCGUGGAGUGAAGGUUGAAUCUAUCAUUUCUAUGAUCUGAUUUAUUUUGUAUCCUUAAUUACUAUUUUUAAAUAAUACUUUGACUAUUUCAAAAUUGAGGCUUCCUGAUCACAACUCUUGUUUUUUUUUUAAUAUAAUCUGGGGUGUUCGGGUCAGUUUAUACACACCAAGAUUAAUUUUUAAAUUUACUGAAUAUCCUUUAAAUCUAAUAAACAAGUAAGGUAUUGGAAGGAUGACAAGAUAUAAAUAGAUAGUCGAACCUCGACGCAGUAGGAAGAAAUUCCCUGACAUUACCUCAAGUGCACAACUCUCGCUUCCUUUCUUUUCAAUGUGUGUGCGCUGUACAAAUUGGUGAGAGCUUGAGAGAUUCUUUUAUUAUUAUUAUUAUUAUUAUUAAUUUUUUAUGGUGGGGUGUGCUGGAAAUGGGGAAAAUGUGGGGGGAGAGGGACGAGUUUUGAUUUGUGUAGGGGUGCGGACGAGUGGGAAAUACUUUUCUCUCCUUUUGACUUGCCUUCUCCCAAAUGGUAAGAGCUCCCCUGUUUUUUUUUUCUUUUUCGGCUUGGACCCCCUCCUUUAAUUAACGGUGCACCCAUUAUUUAUAUCACUUAUUGCACUGGCAGUUGGGGAAUUGCAUUUAGCAUGGUGCACUUACGCAAUAUCUGGGAGUGUGGUUUCACUGUAUUUUUUUAAGAUUUUUUUAUCUUUAUAAAAAAGUUUUAAAUUAAUAUUAUUUUAAUAUUUUUUCUAUAUUGUUUUGAUGUGUUUACAUAAAAAAAAUUAUAAAAAAAUUAUUUUAAUAUAUUUUAAAAAAAUAUAUAUUUUUUAAAAUUAUUCUACUCUACAAUCUCAAAAACUAUUUAGGUUGCGUUUGUUUUUCACCUAUUUUUGUGUUUGCGGUGAAACAAACGCAGCAAUGUGUUUGAUAACAAGUCAAACUGCAUUUUGUAUUGCGGGCUCACUAAAAAAUUGAAUUUGAAAUAUAGUUUUUGUGAAACAGUUUUUAUAUGAUUUUAUAACUGAAUUUCGUAAAAUUCUGUUUGUUUUUGCGUUUCAAAAGCGCUUUUGAAAAAAUUUGAAAUUUUUUAAUUUUUUUCUUUGCUUCAAAUUGAUAUAUUUUUUAUGUUUUCAGAUUAUUUUGAUGCAUUUUCAAGUAAAAAACACUUUGAAAAGCAACCGCAACCACACUUCCACCAAACAUUUUAUACAUGUUUUUUGCUAUACAUAAACUUCAAUCAUAAUUUUUACCAAACACAUAUCUAAAUCCAACUAACCAUAGUUAACUGUAUUUUUUUAAAAUCACAACCACAAAAACUACCUCAAAAACAAACACACAUGCUGCAUUACUUUUUUGGCUGGAUUCAAAUGGUUUUGAGUCGGUUUGACCACGCUCAAACCUAGUGUAUUUUUGGGCUCGAUUCUCUUUUCUUGGAUGAGUUUCAUUAUAUCAAAACCAAACCCAACCGAACUCAUUUGAAAUUAAAGUUAAUAUUUUUUAUGUUUGGUAUAACCGUUGUCAAACCAAACUUAAUCAAGCCUCCCUUAAGCUUGAUUCUAUUGAACAAUCCUCUUCUUCUCUUUUUUAUGUUUCUCUCUGGUUUGUUAUUAUUCACGUCAACAUUUACGUAACACUUUUAGCCCAUGCAGUAUGGCUACAAUUCGAAAAGCUAGCUGCUUCUCAGAAGCUACUCCUAUAUUUUUCUGAGGCUACUUCUUAUUUAUAUAUAAAAACAAGGUAAAGCAGGAAGGAAGAGGAUCUUGAACCAUCUUCUUAAUUCUCACUUACUAGCUGCAAUUAACAUGAGCAUCCUGCACUACUACGCCUUGGUUCCGUACCCACUGCCUCCUGCAGUAUGUAGCAAAGCCCAUAACCAGAACAUUGGUUCUAGCUCACGAGCAUUAUGACGCCAACGGGGUCGCCGGUACACCUUAAUCCAGCAGUGGAGACCCGACCCGUGUUUUCGACCGAGAGGCCAGGCUGGAGUUGGACCGGAGAGAGUAAAUCGUACGGACUGUUAAAAUGUGCUCACCGAGGGACACGCUUCACAAGGUAUAAUCAUGUGGAGAAAUGAACAGCUGUGCUGCCCAGAAGGCGCAGGUGCACCGUACACCUGCGUGGGACUGUGACCUCACUGGCUACACUUCUUAUCAACGUGGACUGUUGUUACUGGAUUGACCAAACCAGCUGGUCUACACUAUCUUAAAACAUCUUUUAAGAAGCCUGAUACCUCUGCUGUUGUAUCCGAUGCCUGUCCCCUGGAUUUCCUUCUUCAUGUAAUCCAGCAUUUUUCCUUCCUACCGCUCUUUUAACUGUCUCGAUUCCUGUGCAAUUUUUUUUUUUUUCCACUUAUAUCAUGGUUUGAAGAAAAGAAAAGAAAAAUUCAAAAACUUAUACAAAUAAGUUUCUAAACUAAACUAUGGUGGUUAUGUUUAUUAUUAUAUUAAUGGUUGUUUUUUAAACUAUUUUUUUAUUAGAAAAUAUAUUAAAAUAAUAUAUUUUUAUUUUUUAAAAUUUAUUUUUAACAUAACUACAUCAAAAUAAUUAAAAAAAUCAGACGGUUACUUAGACAAACGGUGCCUGCAUGCUAAAUGUGAGCUAAAUGACAAAAAAGUCAUAGGGGGUCCAUAGAUUCUGCGGGACCCGGCCCAUCAGGGUUAGCCUGUCGAUUUCUAAAUAAUGGGUUCUCGUGUCCUGUCAUUCGAACACAGUCCACGAUAGUAACUGUGCAUCUACAUUUUACUACUUCAAAUUGCAUUUCUUGGAAGAAAAAAAAACAUGUAUCACCGAUAAUUAAUUCAAACCUAAACGACGUCGGAGAAGCGUUGUAGAUAUGCUUUAAUUUAUUAAAACAGUAAAAUUACUAUUUUAUCUUGGGAGUAAUUAGUCUUUUUAUUUUUUUUAACAUAUUAUAAUUACUUUGUUGUUUUUAAAAUCAAAACUUUAAUCCCUUGCCUUCAGGGCAUCUUUAUACUAACUUUUUCUUCUAUGUGAUUACCAAUUUAAUUUUAUAAGCAAUUUAAUAUUUUAAUAAAAAUAAAAAGUUGCUAGCAAGUAUAAAACAAGCCAACGAAUAAGUUAUCAUUAUUGUUCAUGAAACAUGCAUGAACCGCAGUUGACACGGUGAAUUUAACUGAUGACUAAAACUCAGAUUUGAUAAACAACAAAUAAUUUUUUAUUUUUAUUAGAGAUGAGUGAAAAAACUGAAAAAUUAAUUAAAUUGAGAAAACUGGGUUAAAAAUAACCGAAAAAACCGAACCAUGAAAAAACAAAGAAGUUUUCUUCAGAAGUGGUGCAUGACUUGACUUUAAAAGAAAAGCAGGUAUUAAUCCAACCGUGCUUUUAGAACAUAAUCAAUUCAAAAGUAGGUACAUUUUCUUUCCUGCACACUUGCCUAAAACUUUUCAUAGAAUAGCACAGGAUAAAUAAGUAUUUAAAAAAUAAUAUAGUUUUAUUAAAAACACAAUUGAGAAUAGUAACUUUAAGAAAUACAUGAUUAAUCCGCACUGUUUGUUUUUGUAUUUUAAAAAUAUUUUGUAAAACAAAAAUUUAAAUUUUUUCUUUACUUCAAAUUAAUAUUUAUUUGGUGUUUUCAUAUCAUUUUGAUGCGUUGAUGUAAAAAAUAAUUUUAAAAAAAUAAAAAAAUACAUUAUUUUGAUACAUUUCUAAAUGAAAAGUAACCGCAACCACACUCCCAAACAUGUUAAGAAUAAAAAUGACAACUUUAAAAAAUUAAACCAUGAAAUAACCCUAACUCCAACUCUAAACUAGCUUUAAAUUCAAACUCUAAAUAAUAUCCCAACUUUUAAACUAUGACCUGGUAUUUAAAAAACAAACCCUAAGAACAAACAUUAAUUAAUAACCCUGAAAACAAAUCCUUGUUAAAUAUAAUAAGAUCUUUAGGUUAGUUUAGGGUUUACAAUAAACUUAAUAUUUAAUGAUAAAAUUCAAUAAUAACUUAACACUAUAUAAUAGAAUUGAAAAAAAAAUAGAAAAGGCAGAAAAAACCUGAUUUUUUUUUUAUCAUAUUUAGUUAAGAUAUUAUUUAGUGUUUGUAUUUAGAGUUAAUUUUGGAUUAAAAUAAAAAUUAAUUUAUGGUUUGAUUUUUUUUAUUCAAAUCAUGCUAUUUCCUUGAUAUUUUUGUUGGCCUUUGCUGAUUUGCCAUAUUUUUGGUACCAUGAUUUUUCAAAGGGAUUGUGUUGUAUUGUGUGUUAUGCAUGACGUGGCUAUUAUGUUGUAAUGUGUUGUUCGGUGACGUGUUGUGGGGGUAAAAAUAGUAUCUGGUAACUAGGUGUCGUGUUGUGAUUAAAAAUGUUUAAGAUAGCUAACUAUUAUUUGAUUGCAUUAUUUUGUUGUGUUUUUGAGAUGUAAAAUGACCAAUAAGUACUAUAAUAUAUUAAAAACAUUUUUUUAUUUAUAUUAAGUGAUUUAAAACCGCUUAAAAUCUUAUGACAUCUGUACAUACAUUUUACGAGAGUGGUUCUUAAGUUCAAAAAACUAAAAAAAAAAGGGAUUAAUUAGGAUGAUUAUAUACAUGGACAUGUCCUUUUAAUAAAAUCAAUAACAUAAAAAGUUGAAAUAUAAUUAUGUAAAAUACACUAACAUCUACGGUUGCGUAAUUAAAAAAAUAACAAAGAAAGUUGUUAUUUUAAUUAAAAAAUCAUCAGCACAUAAAAUAAGAUGAAUUUUAUAAUGUCCAUGGAAUAAUUAAUGAUUUUCUAGGCUCAUUUAAAAAAAAGGAUAAAAAUAGAAAUAUUCUUAUUAUUUUUUUUAUGAAUUAUGAAUUUUAUUAUUCUUUUUUUUGUUUAUUUAUUUUUAAAUGAAGCACAUAACUAGUAACUAAUAUGACAAUACUAGUUUAUAAGAAUUUCCAACAAGACACUUGUGUUUUAUUUUUUCAUAAAGUAAGAUGUUUUUCUUUUAAAAACUGACACCAGUUUUGAUUUCAAAAUUAAAACAUGUUUUAAUUAAACACUAUUGUGUGGAGUAAACACAGUUACAUUUUAAAAACAUGUUAAUGCAAAACAAGCAUACCGAUGUGUUCUGUUUGUAUUUGUGUUUUAAAAAUAUUUUUAAAAAAAUUAAUUUUUUUUUAUUUUUUUCUUUACUUUAAAUAAUUUUUUUAUAUUUUUAAAUUAUUUUAAUGUAUUGAUGUUAAAAAUAAUUUUUAAAAAAUAAAAAAAUAUGCAUUUUAGCACGAAAAGUUAUUUAAAAAACACCCGCAACUACACUGCCAAACAUGCUCUUAACACCAGAUCACCGCUUACAAAGAACAAGUCUUCUAUCAUUUUUAUUGCAGUAUUUGGUUUGGUAGUUGAAGCGUAGAUACUUUAAGAUAGUGAUGUGCAAUUGACAGAGUAUUUAAAACAAAGUAAAAAAAUUAAUGGUUUUAAAUUAAUGAUUAAUUAUGUUUAACUGAUGUCGUGGCAUAUUGUGCGUGGGAUUUGCACUGAAGAUAUUUUUAGAUACCUUGUUUUUUACAGGUGUGUUUGGUAGAGUGUCAAGACAGGAUUAAAACUAUAUUUUAUUUUUAAAAGUUUUUAGUUAAUUAAUAUCUUUUCAUUAAUUUCAUUAAAAAUUCUAUCUUAAAGUUUUUAUUAUGAAAAAACUAUGAUUUAUAUUUUUUAUAAAAGAAAUAUCGUCUUUUUAUGGAAAAAAAGCUUCGAUAGCUCUAGUCUCUUUUGAUGACAAUAGGAAAAUUUAAAACCCAAAAAAGAUUUGUAUGACUUUACAGAGAGACUAACGUCACAUAAUACAAAUAAUGUGUAUUUUAUAUUCUAAAAACAUGUAAAAAAACCGCUCUUAUAUUAUAUUCAAGGUUUACGAAUUUUUUAAUAUAACUAAUUGAAUAUAAAUAUAUUACUUCGUGUUGAAUGGUUAUUAUUAUUUUUAUUAUUAUUUUUGUUAUUAUAUCAUGAAUGGUUAUUCUCCUAGCUACCAAGUUGGACAUUUCAUAAGAAUAGAGGACGUAAUUGGGUAGAAAUACUCUCUAAUUCACAGUAAAAUAUCAACUACAUUUAAAUAAGAGGUAGUUGAGAAAUUAAUCCCUUUAUUAAUCGUGGGCUGAGUCUCGUUAGCCUUGAAUUCACAUACAUGAAUGUACUUAUGUUUUUAGGCCGGUUUAUUUUCAUGGUUUAACUAUGUUUUUUUUAAAUUAUUUUUUAUGGUUUUGAUAUAUUAAAAAAAAAUAUUAUUUAAAUAUAUAUUUAAUUAAAAAUACUUUAAAAAUAAUAUAAUACAAUCAGUUAUGAUGGAAUACCAUACUUUAAAAAUAAUAUAAUAAUAAUUGGAUAAGGGGAAGGCACCUUUUUGUUUUUAUUUUUUUAGUUUAACGUAGGUGUCCGAGCCAGCUUGCGCGUACCUCGACUAAUCCUACGGGUCCUGAAGUUAACGACUAUGUAAGCCUCCAGCGGCCAUCAUAUGAGCAACCACAUGGCUCGAACCUGAGAUCACAGAGAAAACAAACCUCUUGAUCCUAAGUUUUUAUUACUGACCACCAUCUAGAUGGUUGAAGUUACCUUUUAUUAAUAAGUCAACAUGAUGUUGAUACAUUAUCCAUCCCUCCUUAGAUUUCUUGUAUAAAAAUAGUUUCGAUACAUCUACGCGCUAAGGACUGGAAAUGAUGAACGAGGACUAAUUCUAGGAAUAAUUAACUUGGUAGUUAAGAAUAAUUAAGACUAGUUCUAACCGAAGAGUAAUUCAGAGUUGAAACAAUGGAUGAGGUUGACUAAUACAACAGUCCCAAGAACCGAAGAAGAGUGGACCCAGCUGUUCUGUUUGUUACAUGUUUAUCAAUUAUUUUUUAUUUUACAAGAUAUUAAAUUAAUAUUUUAAAAGUAUUUUUAAAUAAUUUUGAUAUAAUCAUAUUAAAAAUAAAAAAUAAAAAAUAAUUUUAAUAUAUUUAUAAUAAACCAUAAGAGGAUGGGUUUCGGGUAGCAAACAAGAAGGUCCGUGCAGGUCCGGGGACGCAAUCGUAAUUGUGGCAGACGACAAGGACAGCUGGAAGUUUCCUCCAAAGAAACCAAACCCAAUCAAUGCUAUCCGUAUUACUACUUUUUUUUUUACUUCCUGUAAAUACAAACACAUAAAUGUAUAUCCAUUUAAUAAAAAAUGAAAUCCUAAAAUAAUAUAUAUUAUUUCCUAAAGUUCUCUUCGCACCGUUUACGACUGCAUUUUAUCGUAUUCAUUUACCAAAAAAUAAAAAAAUUAAUAGCUAAUAUUAUAGCUUGUUUGGCAUUUCUAUUCUACGGUGGAAAACACAAAGCUAAGCUGAAAAAAGAGAAGAAAAGCAAGCGCCUCUUGCUCUUCUCUACUGCUCUGUCUCUCUUUUCUGCUCCUCUCAUCUUUUCCUUUUUUUCUUUGCGGGAUAGGGUGGGUGCCAGUAAAAGAGGUGGAGGGGGGGGUUAGAGUGCUCGGUGGCGCACGCUAGCACCAGGGGGCCUAAUUGUACGCCCUGGUUCAUCUCAUGGAUUCCUCUAUUCGCUUCGUUCUCACGGCAAUUCUACAUUGAAAAGGGAAAGAGAGAGAGAUCGAAUCGAAACUUUACUUUCCUUUCCUUUCCUUUAAUUCAAUCUACCAUUUGCUGUAGAGUCUUCAACAAUUCUGGCGGACCUCAAAGGAACCCUAGCGUUCCUUCGAUUGUCCUUUAUCUCAAUAGUGGCAGAUCGGUUCGAUUUUAAAUCAAAGUAUAAGAAGAAGAGAAGAGGGAUUUAUGGUGCAAAGAUGCUUUGGAUUCUACGAUUCUCAGGCUUCUUCUCUGCCGCAGUUGUGAUGAUUAUACUCUCUCCUUCUAUCCAAUCCUUCCCCCCAGCUGAGGCCAUUCGCUCCUCCAAUCUCGACGGGUACCUCCGUUUCCCCAUCCUCCCCUCCCCUCCCGAUUACCUCCCUCAACUAUCCUUCCGAAGGUCGACCAUAUUCCGCAAUGCUGAUGAAUGCCGCUUCUCUGCCCGCCAAAUCAGGGGCAAAACCAGUGUCUGUGAUCCUUCAUUGGUUCACAUAGCGAUUACUCUCGAUGUGGAGUAUCUUCGUGGUUCAAUCGCGGCUGUUCACUCAAUUUUGCUCAACUCUUUGUGUCCAGAGAAUGUUUUCUUCCAUUUCUUAGUCUCUGAGACCAAUCUGGAAUCCCUAGUUCGAUCCACUUUCCCUCAAUUGAAGUUCAAAGUGUAUUAUUUCGAUCCGGAGAUUGUACGCAGCCUCAUCUCGACUUCAGUUAGGCAAGCGCUUGAGCAGCCACUCAAUUACGCCAGGAAUUAUUUGGCUGAUUUGCUAGAGACCUGUGUUAAAAGAGUGAUCUAUUUAGACUCUGAUCUUGUUGUCGUUGAUGAUAUCGCAAAGUUGUGGGCUACUAAUUUGGGUUCUAGAACAAUCGGAGCUCCAGAAUAUUGUCAUGCCAACUUCACAAAGUAUUUCACUUCGGGUUUCUGGUCUGAUAAGCGGUUUUCAGGGGCAUUUCGGGGGCGGAAACCCUGUUACUUUAACACUGGAGUGAUGGUGAUAGAUCUGGUGAAAUGGAGACAUGCCCAAUAUACGAAGUGGAUUGAGAGGUGGAUGGAGGUCCAGAAGAGUGACCGGAUCUACGAUUUGGGUUCCUUGCCGCCAUAUCUUUUGGUAUUUGCGGGAAAUGUGGCGCCGAUUGAGCACCGGUGGAACCAGCAUGGGUUAGGUGGUGAUAAUGUGAGAGGUAGUUGCCGGGACUUGCAUCCGGGUCCGUAUAGUCUAUUGCAUUGGUCAGGUAGCGGAAAGCCGUGGCUCAGGCUCGACUCAAAGCAACCGUGCCCUCUUGAUUUCCUGUGGUCACCAUACGAUUUGUACGGACACUCGCGUUUAUAAAUUCUACUCGCCGGUAAAUUUAUUACCCGUCAGGAACUUUUUUUUUGUUAAUUUCUUUCUUCUUUUUUGUUCUUUAAUUUCGUUCUUCCUAUGACCUCAUUUUUUUUCUUUGAUUUUAAUAUCAAAUCAUUUCUGAGGCGAUUUGUAUUCUAUUCUAUUAUCCCUGCCUUUGAAAAAUAAAAAAAUAUAUAUAAAAAAUAAGGGAGACAUUCAAUUUGUUAUGGUGGUGCUCGUUGGUAUUUGGGAUUUUAGUUAAAAGCUGCAGCAAUUAGUGUAAAAACAUAACAUCUCUGCAGAAGGAAGGAAGAAAGCUUGUCCUUCAAUGGAGGGGUACAGUUGUUGAUAUUGAAUGGAAUAGACAAAUUAGUGGGCAUUGAAGUGGGGAUAUUUUUGAGAUGGCCAAAUUGUGCGUUUUAAUGUCAUUAAAUUACUGGAUCAGUUGCAAAUUGCAAUUGUAAAUUAUUAGCGUUUUGGUCGGUGUCGGUCUGGUCUUGUGCAUUUUGUUUUGUUUUAGGCUCUUGGGAAUUUCUUCUCUGUAAUCAGUACCCGUGAGGUUAGUGGGGAGAGUCAGAAGGUGAUAACAUUGAUUUUCUCGACAAAGUGAUAGGGCAUUUGGGAAAAUGUGGCACGCUGUGAUUAGGAGGGAGGACUUUACAGAGGGCAGCUUUGGUUUUCUUUUUGGACAAAUGGGAGGCCAUGUGAGUAAUGUAGAACAGCGCUUAGGAAAGGGACUUGGAAAAGAUUUGUGCUAGGUUUCUUUUUCCUCGCGCAUCCUUUAGCUUUUUUGUACUUCAUUUCUUAGAAUUUGUAAGCAACUCUUGUCAAAAUGAAAUGGUACUAAUGAAUUUAGCAAAUGAAGAAGAAGAAGAAAAAAUGUUUCGAACGAUAAGCUGACAUACUUGUAGGUGGAGUGCGAUGAACAAAAAAGAGUAUAAGGGCCAUGGACUGGGGGCAUGUGAGCAAAAUCGGAAGAAUCUCGGAGAAGUUCACGGGCUGUAUUUUGUCUUGUCCUUGCCUUGGUGGCAGCGGCAUAAGACUUGUGAACUAUCUCUCGAUUCCGUUCCUUUGCACACUUCGGUGGCAACCCCCCUAUUCCUUGCUUGUUUGUAUUUUGUGGUAAGUCUACUACUUGAAGUGAUCGUAACAAGUAUAAUUAUAAUUUAUCCAGCCAACAAAUAUAGCUAACAAGUGAACUAAGAAAUGUAUAAACAAAGCUUGGAAGCCGGGCAAUCAAAUUUAUUUUGUGGCAUGCCCAGAUGGCAUUGUUGCGUAGCAAGUGUCCAUAGUAGGGACAGGGGGCCGAUUCCUUUCGGCGUGGCAUCACACACGUGGCCAGUUGCUUGGACUCUCCUGGAAUCAGCUGCUUAAUCAUUAUUGAGUUGAGUUGUCUUUAAACAAUCUUAUCAAGAAUGAAAAUAAAAGGAUUAUCCUGUGACCUGUAUUAUCAAUGAUGGUAUUUCUUGGAUUCUUUCAUUGUAGGCUCUGCUCGUAAGCAGAUAAAUUAUCGAUCCGUUCUUCCUUGUAUAUUAAUAAUGCUGAUUAAGACUUGGCAUCAGCCUUGAGUGGUUAUUGGAAUCACAGAAAAAAGAUCAAUCUGACUUUGACAGCUUCGCUGUCACAAGUUAUCUGUAAUCAUAUGCUAGGAAUCCAUUGUUAGAGUAUUUCAAUUGAGAUUCAAUGAGGCCAGAUGGUUCUAGAAGAGAGGAAGGAAGUACGAGUUCCGGAGCACGGAAUACACGAGGCUUCUAGUAUUUAUUAGAGGGGGUUCUGGAGAGAGUAGGUUGUUCAUGUGGGCGGCGUCGAUGGUAGAUGUGUGAUUUUUGUGUGUUUUAUAUAUCAUUUGAAGUUAAAGGAAAAGGAGCAAGAAAAAACAACAAUCUUACGAGCCCCAGUUGAGGUGUUGUCCUAUUGAAGACUGAUAACAUGUAAGAUAUGGCUUGAUUCCGUACCUGAUUCACCUGUUAUGAACUCCAUAUAAAACUCAGAAUAAAACAAAGCAAAACCGGUCCCUUGGCAUAAACUACAAACUUCGGCUGGAUGUUAUUUUGAACAAGAUAUGCAUGUAAGGGUGACGUUGCUGCCGACACUGACCAAAGAAACUAGCAGUAUUUUGAAGGAAACGCCACGUUUUAGAAUGUCUAUAAUUUAGAAAUCGCCAAAGCCAAGUUGCUUGAUUCUCUUUUAUACGAUUUCUUCAUCUCGGAGGCUAGAACUAACUUCGUUAUUUGGAAAUCAUGACAGGUGGUAAGUGUUGACGAACCAGAUCAUGAUCAAUAGUUACACAAGGAAUGAAAGAAACACCCAAAAAUGGGCACUCCCAGAGGUUCCACUACUUUCACCUCAGCAGAGAUGUUAACAAUGCUUUACAAGCCAGACAGUCGUCUUCAUUUUGAGGCCAAAACCAUUAUCUGUGGCAUGUGAAAAGCUCAAGAAAGAAACAAAAGAAGAUAAAGAGCAAGAGAGAAUGAGAUCUUUAAAAGAAACUCGUGGUCUUGAUAACCUUUACAGCUAUAGAGAGCAAAUUCGGUUGAUAAGCAAGGAAGGACCAUCAACCAUCCAUGGUCCACCACCACAUGUAUUUGUACAUAUUAGGGAGCCACCACAUUUAAACUCUGGCUAGCCAAAAACCACAAAGCAGCAGCUAUCUGCUCCUUUCAAGUGGGUCAUGUCACUUGUGAAGCAUAUUCAGAAAUGAGUGAAGCCAUCAAUAAGGACGCUCUUUGGGGCAUACGAAAUUGUAAUUUUAGUCCAUUCAGGAAAAUACAAUGGAACAAAGAGUAACUACAUUACAGCAGUAAAUCCACCCCAACUCCAAAAGUAGAGGAAAAAUAGCAGCCAGCCCUAGGCGACAAGUACUAUAAUUAGCCCGGCUGUAGCCUGGUAAGCAAGUCAAAAUUCGUUCUUAGAGAGCCUUCAGAAGCUGAUGAUCAAGUUACUUUCUUGGCAAUUCUUGCGAGUACGGUUUACCCUAAUAUCCCCUAUGAGGAGAAGAAAUUAAGGUUCAGUUUUCUCCCGGCGGUUCCCUAAUAUCCCCUAAGAUUUUGGAGGUUAUGAGUGCAAGCAGCUUCUUUCAACCUGGACACGCUCCUGAAAUAUUCAUUAAUGUUGCGGGGCAUUAGUAAUUGGCAACACAUUGGAUGCAAAAUUCACACAAGAAUAAGAAAGGUAGGAGCUUGAUUAGCUGAGAGAGAUUAUAAAGAGAGUUUUGACAGGCGAUGUAUUUCAUUUCUGGAAUAAGAUACCACUGUUCUUGUUACAAGCCAGCUCAUGAAUUGUUUUGUUAUGCAGUGUGGAUUCAACUACGAAAAUGUAAUUAAAAUUCAAGAACAUGCCACCACGCUUUUGGCAUCCUGUUAUUAGUCUCACUGCAACACAAUAAACUUGCUGUAAAUGGAGUUGAGCACACACCUUAAGUUAUCUGCUUUCAAGUUUAAGAACCAACCAAGGCUGGCAGAAGCACACAGAAGCGCCAAAUCUUGGAGAACUCUCAGUAUGGAUGCAAACCAGUGGGUUUUUGCAAGUUUAAAAUGCCUGCUUUAAACCUAAGACAGCGGGCUGGAUUUAAAAUGGUAGCAAAGUAUCUCUAGGAACUAAUAUACAUUAAUUGUUCAAGAUCAAUUGAUUAAAAUGGAUAGAAAAGCGAUGAAACUAAACAGUGAUACAAAGAUGAAGCAGAGAACUUCAUCUGCUUACACAAAAGCUACACCUACGAUACAAAAAUACACAUCAAGGGAUCUGAAACUUCAUGUAGUCUUGUGUUCCAGGAGGACUAAUGUACACCCACAGCAAAGAAAUGAUGAUGGAGAGCAAUCCGGACCACACAUAGACAAUGGUUGGGACCCUUCCCCUCCUUCCCAUCAAGCCUUUGGCAAAGGGGUAAAGAUGGGACAAAACCCAGAAGCUGAAGAACACUCCUCCAACGAGCCUGCUCCACUGUGGAAAUGGGCUAUACAAAGUUCUUGCAACUCCUACUGCAAUUGCAAUCAGGUUCAGCAUCAUUAUUGUAAUAGGAGGGACCAUUAAAAAGCUCCACUUAACCACAUAUAAGUCAGCAAAUUCAUCAUCUGCAUCUUCAGGCGUGGCAGAUUUAGAUGUCAAAGUGAAUGAGAUGUCAACUCCUGCUAUAACCUUCAGUAGUCCUUGUAAAACUGCUGCAGGAUGGGCACUUGUUCCACCAAUCAACCAAAACUGUUCGUUUCGCCACCAAUCAUGAAGUGUGAUUCCUGACCAUUUGAUUUCUAGAAUUGCAAGCAAGCAUAGGGUGAUGGUGAUGGCCAACAAGAGGACUAGAAAGGUCACACUGAGGGAUUGGACUAUGAACUGGCCAGAAAAAAGAGAAAUUGCAGGUAGGACGCAAUAAACUAUGAGAAACAUGGAUGUGAAAGGGUACAUUCCGCAGUUGAAAUAUGCCACCCUCUGUAAGAAUUUCAUCCGGCGAGUAGCAAAUAGAGCAUUGUUCCGUGAAAAGAAGAUUUCUACCGAGCCUGUUGCCCAUCGAAGGACUUGGUGGAGCCUGUCUGUUAGAUUAAUGGGUGCUGUGCCUCGAAAUGCAUCCCUUUUGGUUACACAAUAAAUCGACCUCCAUCCUCUAUUGUGCAUACGAUAACCAGUCACCACAUCUUCUGUUACCGAACCAUAUAUCCAUCCGACUCUUUUUCCCCACUCAGUUUUGUCCUCGUAGAAACAAGAGAUAACACUAAUUGCCUCUGCAACAGUUGCAGCAUCUAAAGGCUCACGAGGCACCGCAAGGGAACCAGCUGGUCUUCCUUGUUUACCCGUUUCUUGCAAAUCUUGAAGCAGCCUUCCCUGGUAUUCUGCAACUGGGAUGGAUGCAGCUAGAGAAGUAGAGUUCCCAAACCUUUUAGGCAGAAGCAAAGACUCAAUAUCUGCAUCAUCAUCAUCGCUAUUCUGGUCCCCAUUGAUUGGCAAAGCCAUCUCAUCCUCUUGCUUCUUUGCGGCCUUGGGUUUCCUCAAGAACAGUUUAAUUUUCUUCCUACCAAACCAUCCGUAGUGCUCUGUAGUUCUAGGAGGACUAAACCCAUAAAGAGCUGUUCUGCGGAAAAUACAACCUGUCCCAACAUACAUAGGACCCUGUAGGCCAUCAAGAGCUCUCAUGCUCACAUCAAAGAAUACUGUAUUAUGGUUAGCAUACCGAUCGCUUGGAUCAAUCCCUUCAAACCUUUGUGGGAACUGAACAUAACAGAUCCUAUCACCACCCCUAUCAAGCAUAAAGCACAUCCCUUCCCUCAAAGCCAAGGAGUUAUAGAUGUAGUGAUCACAGUCCAGAUUCAGAAUGAAUGGACCAUUUGACAUGAUUGCGCUGGUUCUCACUAAAGCAUUCAUUGCCCCAGCUUUCUUGUUGUGAUCAUAAUCUGGCCUUUUCUCUCGAGACACAUAGACCAACAUUGGCAAUCUGAUAUCAAUUUCUGUGGUGUCAAGCAAGUUUUCACCAUCUGCUUCUACACCAAAAACAGGUUCUGCAUUUGGAGGAGCUAGCAUAGCCUGAAAAGAAAAGCAAAAAUGUUGAAGGACACUCUAUUCAACAUCUCAUUCUCUAGAAAAUUUACAAAAACUCAUAAGCAAGAGAGUUACCUGGAUUACACCUGCAUGGUCUCCUUUUGAGUGGUCUGCUUCUCCAGAAGUCCAAGUUCCCGGCCAAUGAGAACCAUCUGACAUCCAGGUAGCCUUUGGUACCUUCACAAUUUCUGAUGGAUUGCCCCCCAUUUCCAUCUGAUUCUUCCUCGCUCGAAGCUCUUCAUGGGCAUUAUAGGCAUCUGAUCUUCUCCUAAUUGACUCCGUCAGUGAAUUGAUCCUCACCUUAAAUUCAUCAUAUUCUCUCUUUACUCUUCUCCUCUCUCUAACAAAAUCAAGUCUCACUUUGUUCUUAAGAAAAUCGCGUUUCUGCCCAAAAUAAGCCUCAGGGUUCCUGGGUUCUAUAUUGUGUUUCCUACAGAAAGGAACCCAAAUUCUGGCAAAGCUAGCUGUCUCAGCCAGAGCUUCAAACGUCAAAAGAGAUCCACCAUCAUCUGAUAAGUAACAAGCCAGCUUUUCUACCGGAUAAUCAACUGCAAGGAUCGAAAGGAUGGUGUUUGCAGUGACCAAAGGAGGCUCUUUUUCAGGGUCAGCCGUGGAAACAAACACAUCAAUGCCUGGAAGGUCUGAUCGGCCUUUUGGGUUUCGAAGACUGGGGGAUUCAAAGCGCUGUUUCAGCACAGAGAGGUCAGUCACUCUGUUUACAGGGCAGAGCUUAGGGAGCUGAUCAAGAAUCCAUGACACACCAAACCAUAACUCACAAGUUAUGGACAUCCCCCACAACCACAUUGCUUCGCGAUUGGGGUGUCGGAUUCUCCAUGUUAGGAAUAGACCAAGAGCCGCAAGACGUAUCAUGAUGAGUAGUCUGCAUAGUAAUAAAAAACUUCACAUUUUAGACACUAAUCAAAACACAGGCGGUGCAGCGCCUAAAAAAUUCGUAUUGAAAUUGAUUUAACAACACAAAUUGAGUUGUUCAUCAUCCAGUACCACUUAAAAUCACAUUAUUUACACAUAAAAAAUUCACUAAUAAUCACAUAAUCUAUACAGAUUACAAACAGAGUGAUAAACUCCCACUUCCAAACGACAAUUAGCAUAAAACCCAUCUUCUGAAACCGUAAGUAACCCAAUAAAUUGAGAAUAUCAAACCAGCACAUAUGUGAUCUAAAACAUAUAACCAAAUACUAAACCAUGAAAAUCAAAUGGCGAGUAGCAUUAAUGAUUAAGUUUUUCUUUCUUUCCGGUUUAUAUCAAGCCAUAUAGCCAAAAUCAUAGAUUCAAGUGUAUGGGUUUUUUUUUACCUGUAAGGGCUGAGAAUUGCAGCAGAAACCCCAACCUUCCUGGUCAAAGGCCUCCUACUUCUCUCUCCAAAAUCUGGAGGAGGCUCAAAUCCAUUAGCACCUGAUCCAGCACCAUACCCAUCUUUAGGCCACACAGCAUUUCCAUAACCAUAAGUCCCCUUCGUCUCAAACAACCACCUAGUAUGGUCAAAAUCAGGAGGAUGGCUCUGCGCCUUAAACGACUUCACAAGUGAAAGCCUCUUAUCCAAUUUAGGCAAUGGUAGUGCCUGAUCAUCUGCUUCACUUUUAGCCUCAUCAUAAUCAUAAUCAUCGUCAUCCUCAGCUUCAUCAUCAGCAUCCUUGUAUGGUUCCUUGCAACCAGGACAAUGCCCCCCUCCAUUAGACCCUACACAAUCUAAAUAACAAUCUCUACAAAUCUUGAACCCACAUUCACAUUUUCCCCUAAUUGCUUUCUCAUCACAACCUUUCAUUCCACAAACAAGCCCAGAUUUCAGAGACUCGUUGUUUUCCAUUGAGCAAUCAACUACAUGCCCGCGUGUGACAGAAUUGAACCCACCAGUGAAAAUAGUACCAGAAAUGAAACUCCUCUCAGGUUUGGCAGCAUUUGUGAUGUCUUCAGCUAGGCUUGUCUGUGAAGCUGAGAAGCUCUGGUGAUCUGGAGUGGGAGGUAUAUGGACAGUGUAGGAGACGAACUCUGAAUUAAUCUCCUCCGUGGUAUCAUCUCUGGACAUUGAACAGUAUCUGCCUCCACUUGGGGUUCUGUUUCUACUGUUGCUAAGAGGGGAAUUUGGGUUGUUUGAAAUGGAAGCUCUUGGUACUGGACUAGUUAAGCCCAUGCUUCUACUUCCUCCUCCUUUGCCUCCUGAGGAGACUGUUAUGGUCACUGGAGAUGAACAUGGAGAACUAGCCCUUUUCACCAUUUUCUUUGAUGCUUAAGGGUUUUUUUUUUGUGUUUUUUUAAAAACCUCUCUCACGAGUGGCACAUUCGAAUGCUGAGGCUUGUAUUGUAUCUUUGGAAAGUAAGAGAAUGUAAAAUGAAGAGAACCCAAAGGAAGUUAAGUAGUUUCAAGUGAAGAUGAAGAUCUUCAACGGAGAUGGCAACGGCUCGAUUUGAAUGUUUUUGAGGCUUUUGGAAAAGGGUUGGGGUUUCAUCACAACAACGGUCGUUUAAUCUGAACCGUAAAUGGGAAGUGAUCUGACGGUUAGAUUUUGAAUGAAACGGUCGGGUGUGGUCCCUGCUGGGAAGAAAGUCAAAAGGGUAGGCCCAAUGGCUUUUCUCAUUUUAUAUAUAUAUAUAUAUAUAUAUAUAUAUUUUUUUUUUUUUUAAUGGAUGGGUUUUCUUAAAGUAAAAGCCGUUGGGGUGCUCUUCGAUUCCACAAGUUACCGUGUGCACGUCGCCAGAGUAUCUAUUUGCAAACAAUUGAGUUCUCUUCCUUCUUCCCUUUUCCAAGUAAAAAACAAAUUAUUAAAAUUGACUCUGAAUAUAAUUAUUUAAGGGUUAAGAAAAUAAAAUAAAAUCCAAUUAUAAGAUCGGAAUGUAAAAUGGUAAGAUGUUACAAACUGCAUGUGAUAUGUAAUUCAAAGUUACACGCUUGUUUUUUAGUUUUAAAAAUAUUUUUUUAAAAAAUAAUUUUAUUUAUGUUUUCAGAUCGUUUUAAUAUAUUAAUAUUAAAAAUAAUUUUUUAAAAAUAAAAAAUAUUAUCUCGAUAUAUUUCCGAACAAAAAAUACUUUAAAAAAUAAUCACCACCACACUUUUAAACACGUAUCAAAUAAUAAUAACAAGAACCGUUAUUACAGGGAAAAUCUAUUUUUCUCAAAAGUUCAAAAACACAUAAAAAAUUAAAAUUAAAAAAAAACAUAUAUUUUAGAACAAAUCAAGUUUAAGUUUAUGUGUAUAUAAUUAAGGAGUAAGGAGUCAUCUUAAGCUAAAGCCACUAAAGAAAAUAGCUACUUUAUUCAAAAGGGACAUGUAAAAAGCUUUUCAAACUCAUCCCUCGAUUGUCUUUACUGUCGUUUUCUCGUGCAAUUUUAGAAUCUAGAGAAUUCAAAGUUAUCCGUUAGCUUUAGUGGGCCUUGGUCUAAAAGACAAGCCAUGCAACAAAGUUGUUCGGUCAAGUUAGUCAGGCCUUGACCUAAGUUAGAGGGCUUCGACCUAUGCAAUAAUCACGUGCUAGCAUGCCCUUGCAUGCUGCUCAAACUCUCUAAUCCACAUGCUCUGGUGCGCACUUAAUUAUUUGAGGGCACGUGCCAUGUCAGCACAACAUUGCAGCGUCAUUACACAUAGCGGCACACGCUUACUUCUCAAUUGCAAAGAUCAUAUAUGGCUCCAACACGAAUUGUUGUCGUGAUCUUGGUUGCUAAAAUUACUAUUUACUUGUAAAAUUAUAUAAUUUUAUUUUAUAUAAAAUAUAUAAAAUUGAGUUAAAAACUCGAAAUCGGUUAAACUCGCUCAAAAUCGGUAAAACUCGGUAAAACUCAGUCACAAUUGGUAAAACCGGAUCGAUUUCACGAGUUUGAAAAAAGUUAAAAAAUUUGCUUACUCCAUGUCCUUGAGUCCCUCGACACUCCACCCCAGUCUCCCCUUUCCCCUUUGUUGAAAUCUCAAAUUCUCAACCUUAGCAAACUAACACCAGCCGUGACUAAAAAGUGAGAGAUCGCGAGAAAGAGACGAAGUCGAAAAGGAGAGCAAUGUCUUGGCCUUCUCGCUUCAGAUCAACUGAAAAGGCAUGUCAUGUGAUUUUCUCUUCUGCUUUCGACUCCUGGUGUCUGCAACCGCAGUAGAGAUCGUAGAUCUAUAUGUUCCUGUUUAAUCAUAACAAGUAAUUGCAUCAAAGCUAGUCUUUUAUAAGAUUAUGUUUUAAUUCUCUAAGAGUGACGUUACUUCCAUCCCUACUCUCAAAAGAAAAGGGUCAAUCAUAAAUUAGGAGAUCAUAAAGUUAUGCAUCGUGAUUUUAAUAAGAAGAUUUAGGAGUUAGGACUCCAUAUAUGUAAUGAAUAUAUUAAACUUAAUUAGGAUUAAUAGAUUAAUAUCUCUCAUUUCAUGAUUAACAUUCAGUUUUGUGCCUUUCAUUGCAAAGAAAUCAUUUUCCUUUUCUCCUCCGCUAGCUGCUACUAAUACUGAGGCAGGGUUGUUAUUUGCAACCUUGACUUCCUUUUCUAAUGCCCGAAUGGAAUCAACUUGCCUCGUUUGAUGAUCGACUACUACUAUGGAUCCAUUUGGUUUCUCAUCUUUUGUUGCUGACCUAAAGCUAUGCAUAUUUCUAUCAAUAUUUUCUGGUGUUGGAGGAGAUCUCUUUCCUGCAGUAGAUCUAGAAACAACCUUGCCACUGCCAUCACUAUUUCUUGAUGACGACCCAUUACCAGCACCUGAUUGCUUUUCUAGAUUCCAGGUCAUGGCCACAAAAGAAAAAAAAAGAAAAAAGAAAGAGAUGCAAACUUGCUGAUGAGAAAUGCUUUGGUUUGGUUUUGACUAGAAGUGAAAGAAAUGCUUGCUGAUGACAUACAAACAAACAAACAAAAAUGAGUUUUUUUCAAGACUAGAAGUGAAUAUAGAUCAAUGGAAAAAAAGGGGAGAGCAUAAAAUUUAAUACCCACCUAAAAUAAGAAAAAGAAAAGAAAAGCAUAUAACCAAUACCAAGUUAAGAUUAAAGUUUUGCCACCUAAAAUAAUAUACAUAACUGUGUUCUAAGAACAAAAAAAGAAGAAGAUUAUAAAACACAUUUCACAAAUAUCACCAAUACCAAGUUAAGAUUAAAGUUGUGCCAUGAACGACUUCUUCUUCCUAAACUGCAGUUCUAACUAUGAACCGUGGUAUUUUGUCCAACUCUCUACACUCUACAUUAUACAUCUUUGUUGAUGCAUAUAUUGAUUUUUGAACUGCAGGAUAUAUCGCAUCUAAAAAAACUACCAGUGGCAAUAAACCUGACGUGGGAUGACAAUAUAAUAUAUAUGCUGAUAAGAAUUCAAGAAGAGUUUAGUGCAAGUAUUGUCAGAAAAUUUUUAGUGGAGGCUAUGUUUAGUUUACAUGACACACCAAUAAAUUAUUUGUUUUAGGUUUGUUAACUUUUAGUUAAUGAAAUUCUAUGAAUAUAAUUAUAUUAUAUUAUAUUUUUAAGUUAUUUAAACCAUGUAUGAAUUUUUAUUUGAAUUAUGUAUUUUAAGAUGUUUGGACAUUUAUAUUGUUUAUUUCAUUUUUAUUUUAAUUGUGUUAUAUUAUUAUUUACUACUUGACUGGAAUGGUCAAUAUAUAAUUAGUUAAAAUAUUUUACUUGUGAUUUUAUGAUUUAACGAUUCGAGUUUAUAUUGUAUAUUCCGUGUCGUGUCAAAAAAACAUUAAAAAAACAUUUUUGACAACCUUGAUUGCGAUGUUUACCUUUUUUAUUCUUGUUCUUUUUAUUAUAUUUUUUUAUGAUUUACAAAGUUAAUUAUCAGAGAGUCCACUAUUCUAAUAAAAAAAUUGUUUUAUAGGAGUUUAGGAACUAACCUAACUUAAUUUAAUUAAAAUUCCUCUAAAUCCCAUUGUAUCAAUCAUUGAAAGGCCUAAUUUAAUUUGAAGUUUUUUUUAUUUCAUUAGUGAUACUACUAUAUAUGAGAAAUAAACAAAAGCCAAUUCAUUUCUAUUUUACACAUCACUAAAAGCUCUUUCCAUGGAUGUUGACUUGGAAACACUAGGACAUGAAAGAGAGUAAUUGACGGCCCCAUAGUACGUACACUAACUCUUCCAAGUCUUUAAUAAAUCACCCAUCAAAUAAAAGUGUUCACCGAAAUUGUUCUAACUAUACAACAUCAUCUUUGAACUUUGCCAUUCUCAUUACACGUGACACAACUAUAUUACAUGCAUCACCAAAUGCAUGUAGACAACUCUAUUUUCUUAAAGAGAUAGGGUAGAAUUGAUCGCCACGGGUUACGUCCAACAAUUUACAAAGAAAAAAAUGUAACUUAAACAAUAAAAGGAAAGAGGUCAGUGUAUCCCACAAUAUAUUGUUUGAGAUAAGAUAGUUUUAAGGAAUUGUAUCUCCACUUAUAUAAAAAUAUUUUUUGAUUUUUUUAAUGAAAAUAACAAUAUUAUCUUUUUGAAUAAUCUCUAUACAUUUUUCUUCAUGGUAUUGCUUAUCUCCAUGUUUCUAAAUAAAUCCUCAUCUCUCCAACAAAAUCUCAAUAUCUCUAAAUGAAGUAUCCAUGCAAAAUCUCAAUUUGUCCAAUGAAAUUUCUAUGUCUCUAUAUAGUGAUAUUUACUAAGCAUUCAUCUUGGAAAAUUUUUUCAUUGAUUCUCUAUUAUCAUUUGCACAAUCCUUACUGCAAUACAACUUUUGCUACCACAAAGUACUUUUCAUUUUAUUUUAAAAUGUUCUCCAUCCUAGGUACAUUUCUCAUCUGGAUCAAAUUUUAAAACUACUUAUGACAAUUAGAAAAUACGUGAAAAUUCUCUAUGUUUUUCUCUUGGCAAGCUCUUAACCAAAUAAAUAGGUCAUGAAAAGUAUGCAAAUAGACAACACGCCAAACAAAAUCACAAUACAGAACACAACACAAUACAAUAAAUGACAAUCACAACAUACACUCUCAUAUGUUUUUUGUUCUCGUUUUUUUUAUCUCACACUAUUUUUCUUAUACAAUUUACUAACUUAAACAUAAAAGGAUCCUUACAUGAAACUUGUUUUAUAGGAGUUCAGAAACUAGCCUGACCCAAUUUAAUAAAAAUUCCUUUGACCUAAUUUAAUAAAAAUUCCUUUAAAGCCAAUUGCUCUAGUCCUGUAAAGUUCAAUUCAAUUUGAAUUUUUUUUUUUUGUUAUCAUCAUCAAAGUAUUUUCUAUCGUUUAACAUUAAUAAGCCUUGUUAUUGAGUACGUUAAAUUCAUCCAAUCUAGAAAAGAAAAAAAAUUGUUAAGCAUUAAAAAUAUUUAGCAUCGUCUUAAUUAAUAACCUAUAAAUAGAUGUCAUAUAUAAAAUCUACAGUUAAAUUUGUUAGUAUCCAAAUCAUAAAAAUUAAAUACCAUAAAAUCUACAAUUAAUUUUUUUUUAAAAAUCUAAAGUGCUAGAUAUCAACAACGCCUCUGAGAUUAAAAUCAAACACAGAUUAAAACAAGAAAAGCAAAAAAGAACCCAAUUUCAAAGAGAAAACCCAAAAAUAUAUGCUGAUGUAAAAUCGUAAAAAAUCUCAUGAGAUCCCAAUUUUCUGACUUUUAGGGAUUUUAAUCAUUCAGGGUUAUUUGCAUUGUUAAAUUUACAAUUCUCUAUUCUUUUCUUUAGGAGGCAGUGGUUUAAUUCGAUUGUUUUACAUACUCCAUUUGAAAUUGCAUUGUUGGAGUAGCUACCCUUUUCAUCAUUGUGGAACGAGCAUGGAGGACCUCUGUUUAUUCCUUCUGCUUUAGCUGGUUUCAUGGUGGACAUGGUUGAAUUGCAACAAACUGAUUGUUAAAAAGAUUUCAAAUCUUGACGGGUUAUGCCGUAUAGACGUAUAGUGUAAUUUCAUCUUGUGAUAAAAGAAAGAGAUCUAAUGAUAAUGUAAUUAAAAUCAAAAGGGAAAACUCUGUGUGAUUUUUUCCUGAGAAUUUGAAAACAGUUGAAUAUCCUUUUGUUUUGAUUAGGAGGGCAUAGCCCUAAAUCAUCCUAUGAAAAACGAGCAACGCCGAUCUCCAGAGAAUGACCGUAAUUAGUUAGGCAAUCCACGCAGCUGUUAGCUUUUUUACAGACACGAGGAAUCUGAACUUGCCUAGAACGCUUCAAAUAGGAAUAAGAGUUGUUCGACUUAUCCCCCUGAGUAAUAUUCAACCCCACCGCAAGAGUAGAAUCUACCUCCGACACCACCUGCUUAGACCUGCCCUCCUUUCCAAGCUAAAUCCGGUCCUAUGAAGAUACCCACAACUUUGACUCCUUUCAUGGCUACUAAAAGUUUACAUGGUAGUUAUUUUUAGACUCUGUAAAAUUAAUUGAGAUAUGUGUAAACCGAUCCAAACACCAAUACAUGUGCAUGGGAUUAGUCGUGGCAUUUUGAAGGAAAGCACCAGCCAACAAGCUCUCCCCUCCCCGCUCGAGAACCCAGCUGUGAAUAAUGGCAGCUUCACUAGUGCAUGGGAUAGUAUCGAUCAGUAGCCAAUCUUUCGAGACAAAGGUGGUAAAAAUCCAGCAUCAAAUAUAGCAGCAUUUCUCCAAUUCCAUAUCUGCCAACAGUUGAUUCAAGAUGCUCGAUUGGUAUUGGUGUUUUUUUAAAAGGAUCUAGCUUAAAUUCGAGCCUUUCUUUUGUAAGAAGAAAAAAUAAAACGAGUGAUUCUAGAUCAAGUAUAUAUGCCUUAUCUCUUUAAAAAAGAAAAGUUCUAUGCUUGACAGAGACUCGUGCAAAUUCAAAAGGGCAUGCAAAUUGCUUUUGUGAAUUCAAAUUGAUUAUAUAAAAACAUGGUAUGUGCCAUAAAAAAUAAUUAAAUUUAAAUAAACAUAAAACUUCAAAUCGGAAAUAAUAUCUGAAAAAUAUUUAAUGCUGGUGGGGAUACACAUACACCUUAAAUCAUGUUGAAUAUAGCUAGGAAAUGAAGAAGAACAUUUAAAUACACCAUACACCUUAAAUCAUGUUGAAUAUAGCUAGGAAAUGAAGAAGAACAUUUAAAUACACCUUGAAACGAAUAUAAUAUUUAUCUAUAUAUACACAUCAGCAUCACUUGAAUAUAUAUAUAUAUAUAUAUAUAUAUAUAUAUAUAUAUAUAUAUAUAUAUAUAUAUAUAUAUAAUAGGCGAUGAGAUGAAUGGUUUUUCUCCUAAAGAAAUAAAUAAAUAAAUUAGAUGGCUAGUAAUUUAAUCAUAUUAUAUGGAGAAAUAUCCUUAUAAUUCAAUCCGAAAUAGGCUGUCAUGCAUCAUUAGAAUAUGAGAUUUUUUUUUAUCACUAUCAGAAUAUUUCAUGAUAAAGAAACAAUUGGUCUCGCAAGCAUGGUAGUAAACGCAUCCAUACGUUUGAAAAAGAAAGAUUAUAUAAGGAAAGAGAAAGCUUCAAAGUUUUACUUGGUAAAAAUAUAAUUAAGAUUAAAAGACACGCUAAUUUGCUGGAAGGAGAGAUAUAAUUGCAUAGGAACUGGGAAUAAGCUAAGCCAAAGAUUAUACAAGCACGAACUGACGAAAUACUACGCUGUACAUAACAACGACCCGCUGCCACGUGACGCGACCUGGUCUUUCCAUCCAUUUCCUUUCUCACACAAAAAUAAGUUAUUAACGGUUAGAAUAUUCAAAACUACACAGACCAGUUCCUCCCUCUAUGAUCUCAUGCUCUCCUGAUUGUUUGCCGGCACGCCACUUUGAUUUACCAAUUCCAUGCCAAGCUUCUUUAGCUACUCCACUUCCUUCCUUCUUUGCCCACUACUGUCACCCUUCAUUAAUUCUUUCUUCUUGUUAACCCAUAGUAAUAUUCUUCAUCAUCGAAGACCAUGGCUAUCAGAAAUCUGUGUGUAAUACUCGUUAUAAUCUCACUUUCUGCGUACAGUUCUCUCUCUCAGGCGCCGCCACCGCCACCGAAUUCCACUUGCAACGACGUGUUCGUCUCCUACACCUACAACAGAGGUCGUUCUAUACCCCCCUUUGAUCCCACAAACCAAGCGUACAGGUUCGAAUCCACUGUCACGGUGCUCAACAACGGACGGGAUGAGCUCAAGUCGUGGAGGGUCUAUGUUGGGUUUCAAUAUAAAGAGCGCUUGACUUCCGCAACUAAUGCUGUGUUGGCUGAUGGGACCCCUCUGCCUGGUUUUGUUGGAAACGGUACAGAAUUUGUUGGGUUUCCUGAGACUGACCUCAAGACUGCUAUUGAUACAGCAGGAGAUUUGACCCAGAUGGAGGUUCGGGUCGAGUUGGUGGGCACCCAAUUUGGAGUUGGAGAUCCUGGUAUUCCUCUGCCAAAUAAUUUGACUCUUGUUAAUGAUGGCUAUACUUGCCCUGCUGCCACAACGCAAGGUAUGUCAUUUCAAAUAUGUUAAUGAAGAAUAGUUCAGUAUUAAGCUGUGUCUGCGCGUGACUAUCAAAAUUAUUUAUUUAUUUCAGAGAAAAGGACUUGUUAUAAUUUCGAAUUUGUGAUAGAAAUUGCAAAGAAUUGCUUAGAGGAGAUUAUUUCAUAGAAAUACCCUGUGUAUAUUGCUUUUGUGUUGAAAUAGAAAUUUAUAUAUAUACUACUGUUCAGAAGCCUAACAAUGGUGUAGUGCUCUGAUAUUUGGGGCUUGUAGAUGAGAAGCAAAAUUCAGGAUAUUUAUGUCCGAACUUCUUGUCAAUCUUUUCACAUUCUUUUUGUCAUUGAAGAACAGAUUUGAACUUGUUUGUCGUUGACGAUGGGCUAUUGUCUGACCUGUACAGGAAACGAGAUGCACGUGUGCUGCAUCAGGAAUGUGAGUUCUAGACCAGACAACAAUCUGGAAGAUAAUUUCCUGCCACGCCAAGAUGGUGAUGUUAUCAUCAUGUAUGAUGUAAUCAGAACAUAUGAGGAUUAUUAUUGGGCACAGGUUAACAUUUCAAAUCAUAAUCCUCUUGGGCGUCUUGACAAUUGGAAAUUAAACUGGGAGUGGAUGAGUGAAGAAUUUAUCAAUGCCAUGAAAGGAGCUUAUCCUUCUGUUGUUGAUACAAGAGAUUGUAUUUAUGGCAGGCAAGGUCAGCACUACCCGAAAAUGGAUUUUUCUCAAGCAUUGAGUUGCGAGAAAUUGCCUACAAUUAUUGACCUUCCUCCAACAAGUGAAAAUGAUACAAACCUUGGCUUGUUCCCCCUGUGUUGUCGAAAUGGAACAAUUCUAUCACCUACCAUGGAUCCGAGCAAAUCUUUUUCAGUUUUCCAGAUGCAAGUGUUCAAAAUGCCACCAUAUUUGAACAGGUCAUUGCUCAUUCCACCACAAAACUGGAAGAUCAAUGGGACAUUUAAUUCAGACUUUGAAUGUGGGCCUCCAAUACCAGUGAGUCCAAGCCAUCUCUCUGAUCCAAAUGGUUUGCCUUCAAAAAGAUCAGCAGUUGCCAGUUGGCAAGUGGUUUGCAACAUAACACAUUUCAAGGACCAGAGCCCAAAAUGUUGUGUGUCAUUCUCAGCCUUUUACAAUGAUUCUGUUGUUCCAUGUAGUACCUGUGCUUGUGGCUGCAACACCAACCCAAGCCAAACCUGCAGUGCUAAUGAAACAGCUCUUCUACUACCAUAUUCAACUCUUCUACUCCCAUUUGAGAACCGGACUAGAGAAGCCUUGGAAUGGGCAAGAAUUAAAAGGAUGACUGUGCCAAACCCACUUCCAUGUGGAGAUGGUUGUGGAGUUAGCAUAAACUGGCACGUACUUUCAGAUUACAGAGGUGGCUGGAAUGCAAGGAUCUCUCUUUUCAACUGGGAUGAUAAUGCCUUUGCAGAUUGGUUUGCUGCCGUGCAAUUAGACAAUGCAGCACCAGGCUUUGAGAAGUUCUACUCUUUCAAUGGAAGUGCCCUGCCUGAAUCCAACAAUACACUAUUUAUGCAAGGUUUCAAAAACUUGAAUUAUCUUCUGGCAGAAAGAGAUGGAGACAACCCAAGAAAGGAUCCUCGGGUUCCUGGCAUGCAGCAAUCAGUAAUAUCAUUCACUAAGAAAAAAACCCCUGGCAUUAACGUGGCUGGUGAGGAUGGGUUUCCAACCAAAGUUAUCUUCAACGGUGAGGAGUGUGCUCUCCCAGCAAUACGUCCAAGCAGUGGUCAUAAGACAAAUGCAGCUCCUUUCGCCUUUGUUAUAGUUUUGGCUUUAUUGUUCAUUCAUUGAUUGCCUAUAAUGCAGGUAUUACCACUUCUAUUUUUCUUCAAAAUUUAUCAAGCAGCUGCUAAUUUCUUGAUUGUUGGAUUGAUUUGUAGGCUCAGUUUAGUCUGCAGCGCCAAAUUACACGUUUGGCAACUUGGAUCGGGUUGUAUUUAGAAUUUAAACCAUUAUUAGUUUAUUACAGAUUGGAGGUUCUAUUGGCUUCUGUGAUAGACCACCAUGGUGCUGUGACCACAAAUUAUGAUGAGAAAAGACAUCGUUACUUGUUCUUAUUGGCAAUCAAGCGUGUAAUUAGCAUUUGAAGAAAGCAACUUUUCUGUUAUUCCAUUUUUUAUGUGCUUUAGAGCCGCACUUUUGCCCCUUUCUUUUCUUUACUUGGUUAAUUGGACGGUCUACGAACUAAACCUCGUGGGAGACAGGCAAUGGAGUUGCCUUGUUCUGUUCCUUAAUCUAUAUCCAUCAAGUACUCGGUUUAUCAGUUGGGCUGUAUUUUACAUACAAUUUACACCAUGUCUAGAGAGGAUGAGAGAGAGGAAAAUAGAGAAUAAUUAUCCACUGCAAUUUACACACCCGUGCUUCUCUUGUUUGGUUGGAAGGAGAUUUGAGAGGAAAGAAACAAGGGGGAAAUGGCAAAAUGUCCAACAGUCUAUUUCUUCCUUCUCAAUCUUUCAUGUUCAGAGAAGUUAAAGAACGAGUUGAGCGCCUAAUUCAUCCCAUCUUGUUCAUCCAUUCUACCUCCUUAUUGCUUAAUAAUAAUUUCCACCAGAAACAAACACGAUAUAAGAUUUAAAAGUGAACAGAUUAACAAUGAAGAAACUAUAAGCUUUGUCUAAACGCAACUCAUAAGCUAUCAAACGGCAUUUAUGCAAGCCCACAGGCAACAUUGAGUUUGUUCUGGUUGGUAAUUCAGCUCGCAUCAAAGAUUAUCAAUUCGCACACUAGCCCUUCAGUCUAAAUAUGUACAAUGUUGAUCAAAAUGAGAAAUCAGAUAUAACCAGCUUGAUGAGAGAGAGGGAUCCAGGCUAGUUAAAAGAUCAAUGAAUGUCUGCCUAAAAUAGAAACAUUAAACCAAGUUUCGAAUAUGAAUAAGAUGGUAUCUAAUCUUGGUUUUCCUUGAAGGAGGAAGCAUCGCAUGAGAAAUAUUACAGGUCAAAGAGGAAUAGGAUCUCUCCUCGCUGAAGAAUCAUUAUCAGAUUGCCAGGCAGUGGGGUUAUAACCUAUCAAGUGGUUCGGUGCGCUGUUGAGGACAAAAGAACCUUAAUUAGUUCCUACCCUACUCUUGUUUAAGAAAUGGUGAAUAUUGAACUGUAUGACCUUCAAAAAGCUUGGAAAAUGAGUGAAUUCCCAGAAAACUAACCUCCAAGAAUGGUUCCUGCAAGAUCUCACUUUGAUCUAAUUGUUGGAGGAAAAAUAAAGAAUCACAGUUCAACUGAGGCAUAGUGUCAGCCUAGAUCUCACAAAAAUUACAAACUAAAAGGCUUUGAGAAUGAAGAGCAAAAUUUCCUUGGGCCCUAUAAUCUUCAAUAAGCGAUGGAUGGCCGAUAGAACAUUUCGGCUGGAUGCAUCUAAUAGAGAUGUACAGUUGAGAAGAAAAUCAAGUGAAGAGGAUCUUGUUAAUGAGUAAUGACUUCAUUCUGGUAUUCUGGAGUUAAGAAGGUUCUUAUGAUCAUCAUAUGAAAGCAUGGAGCUGCUAGAGUUUAGCAUCAGAUGUCUACUGGAUUGUGGAGUUACAGCCACAAUGGAUCAGAGGUCCAUUGGUGAGAUGCUGCGCUGGAAACUGGCAUGAAGAAUGGUGUUGGGGGUUAUAGCCACCUGAAGAAGGGAAUUGCUAGAAAAUUGAAGUUCCAGGAACACUUUGAAUCUGCAUAAUGAUAUUCGCGCUGGCGCUGUGGAGUGUCAGCUUGUUUUCUAAGAUACAAUCUGUACUUUGUUUUUUUAUGUAGUUGUUGCUUUGGUCAUUAUCCUUUGCCAAAAAAAAACAAGCACACCACACAUACACACACAAACACACACAAACUUCCAUGAUAUUGUAGAUAGUGAUGAGUGUAGAGCUUUUUAAAAAGGAAAAAAAAAAGACAGACAAUGGAGGUGGAAUUAGUAAAAAAAUUCUUACUUCCAGGACCGAGAUGAUUCAAUGCUCUAACAAACUUUUCAUGGAGUUCACGAGUCCAAAUCAUUCAUUUCUUUCCCGUAGACAAACCAUCUGAAGCCUUGCCUUCAUCUUCACCAUCUAUUUUCCUUUUCAAGGUCAUAGGAUGUCCUGCAUUUCCAGAGACUGUACAGCUAACAAUACAAGAAUUCUCCAAAUGCAAUUUAUCCUCUUCCUUUCUUAUUGGCUGUUCUAAUCGUUCUAAAGUGUUGUUAAUUUUCUUGCGAACCACGUGCUGCCAAAAGACUUUAAGAGCUUCCAUCUUAACAGGCUUGAUCAAACAAUCACAAGCACCCUGAAGAACACCCUUCAAAACAAGUUCUUGUUCAUCAUCUGAUGAUAUGACUAGGUUACAUAACAAUAUAUAAUAAAUGUUAGUUUAAUAUAAAAACGUAUAUAUUCAUGGUGGACAUCAAGUUAAUAAUCAGAUAGAAGACUAAAUGAGAACUUACUGACGACAGGCAAAUCCAUUUCUGAUCGGAUGAUCUUAAGGAGCUGAAUUCCAUCCAUUUCAUGCAUUUGCAGAUCAUUUCCAAGAACGUCAAACCUGUUCUUAUCCUCUCGAAGCAUUGACAAAACCUCCUUUCCUCUUCCACAUUUGGUGACUGAACAUGUUAAAAAGUAGAAUUAUAUAUGUCACAAAAGGAUGUGGGAACCAACCCCAAAUUCGUUCAUGAAUUCGCCAUCAGGAUGUGCGAAAACAGUACUUGAAUUGAUUGGUUAAGACUUGUGGAAUAAGCUCUAAUUAAAAUGAACAUGGCCAUUAAAUAAUUUGAGAACGAAUUUGAUAUAUAUCUAUGCUUCAUCACCUGUGAAGGGGUGAAAUGAAUGAUGUUUAAAGAGAGACGAAUCUGGCGCAUUUGAUCAAGCCAAUCACAAUGUCUUGAUUUACUGCAUGAACUUAGAAUUUGCUGUAUCUACCGAUUUAAAUUAUUUUGGUUUAGCAAGGAUUUUGGAAAGUGGAGCCCGCUCUAAACAAGAUCCGAAGAUCGUUCAAAUCCAGUUCCAAUAUGGAUAUAAAAGUGAAAAAGUGAUCUCUGCGCGGUGUUUGUCUGUGUGGCUGUAUUGUAUUUUUUUAAUUUUAAAAUAUUUUUUUAGUAUUUUUAAAUUAUUUUGAUAUGUUAAUGUAAAAAAAUUUUUAUUUAUUUUUAAAUAAAAAAUAUUUUAGAAAACAUAUAAUCUCAUUUAUAAUUUUAAAUAUGCUUAGUACGGUCUUCUUUUCUCAUUUGAGUUAGGUUCUUAAGAUAAAUCAGAUUUUCUGAAUAAUCUUUAUUCAACUUAUUAAAUAAAGUCGGUAAGUUUGAGAUUGAAAAUGGAAUUAAAUUUUUAUUAUUAUUGUAUUCAAAUAAUAACUAGACAAGACUUAUAGUAGUAAUAGUAGUUGAGGAGAGUUGUUAACAAGCAGCAGUUACUUGUGCUUUUUGUUUGGGUUAAUUACAAAAGAUACCCUCUAGUUUACUUAAUUUUUUCACCUAUCUCCAUCAUUCUAGAAAUUACAUUUUAUUUUUUAAAAAUUUAUAACAAUUUAUAUCCUUAUGCCAUGCUAGCAAACUAAAAAAUAAAUAAAUAAUAUUAUAUUAUUUAUUAAAUUGUUAUUAUAUUUCAUUUAAUGAUUAAAAAGUUUUUAUAUUAAAUAUUAUGAAUUAUCCAUAAAAAAAAAAAACAUGGAUGCCAUCCUCACCCUUUUCUCCUUCAUUCAACCUAGAAACUUACAAUCAACACCUCCAAUAAUAUACUAAAACCCAACUGAUAUUGUACCAUCAUCAACAAAUUCAUUAUUGGUUCUCCUCGGAGAACAAGUGCAAGUAACAUAUUUCUUCCCACUCGUGCUUUGAGUUCGGGCUUUCAAGAAAAGAAAAUCUGGAACUCUAUGUCCUCGACAAAUGCUAUCAUAAACUAAACAAGAGGAGCCUAAUAAUAGCAAAUAAAAGCAACCCAGAAAAGGAUUCCAAGGUUUGGAUCAAGAGCUGGUCGUGUGGCGCUGAGCCUUUAAGCUUUGUUGCUAUUUCAAAUUUUCAAUGCCGUCACCAAACACUGACCUAAUUUGUGUAAAACAUCAUUAAAGCUCCAGAAGUUAGAGCUUUCACAGGAUAAAGCAUGCAUACUAGAAAGAACCAGAUGAUCCCAUUUAAUCAAGCAUAAAAAACAACUAUUCAACAAUGGUGGAGGGGGAAGAGAGAAGGAAGUCACUGAACACAAAGUUGACUCCUUGUGUAUUGAAAUCCGUAGGCGUUCUAGCUUGAUGAGCGCUAUCCUUCUUGAAAAAUCCCUCCCUUCUUAUUUGCCAUAAUCAACAGAGAGUACAAGACUUCUUUCAUCCCACUACGUACCCUAUUAUCCAUGUCUUAGAUGGCUGGAAGACAGAGGCAAUAUCAUGAUAGGAACAACAGAUUCAGUAGCGAUCACAUCACAAUAGGAUGGAAAUGGAUAGUAAAUUGAGUCCUGACUCUAUAUUCUUAGACCAUUAUACCUUCUCGUUGGAUGUGAAAGAGAAGGCUUGGAAGCAGAGCAUCAUUGAAGGUAAAAAACUAUAUAUUCUUAGAUUAUUAUUCCUUCUCGUUGGAUGUGAAAGAGGAGGCUUGGAAGCAGAGCAUCAUUGAAGGUAAAAAACUAUAUAUUCUCCCAUCCGAUCCAAUCUAGAGGCUGAGUUCAUCACAUCAAAAUCAGGUAUUGGGAGCUUCACGCUACAAGUUUCCGCUAUAGUAUUUUUUUUAUUUUGUUUUUUUAUAUUUACAUGGUUGUUCGAGCCAGCUUGUGCGUACAUCGACUAAUUCUACGGGCUCUGAAAUUAACGAUUAUGUAAAUCUCCAGUGGUCAUUAUAUUAGCAACCACAUGGCUCAAACUUAAAACCACAUAGAAAACAAAUCUCUUAGUCCUAAAUUUUUAUUACUGGUCAUCUACUAUAUGGUUGCUAUAAUCUUUAUUUAUUUAGCUGGCUGGAGUGUGGAAUAAAGUAUAUAUUCUUCUUACAAACUUUUUAUACAUAUAAACAGUAAUGUAUACAUAACAAAACUUAGAAAGUAUAAGUAAAAUAAACAAAAAGCAUAAUUGUAUCGGUAAUAUAGCAUAAACUAUUAUGAAAAAUAAUUAAAUGAUUCCUUAAUUGAAAAAUAGAUGAAUAUAGUAAGAUAUAUGAUCAAUAUAGUAAGAUAUAUUCAUCAAAUUAUCCAAAUUAUAUAAAAAUAAUUUUAAAAGAUAAAAUAUAUCUUUAAACUAUCUUGAAUCUUAAAAAUGCUAAAAUCUUAUUUUACAAUUAAUUUAUAUUAUUAUUUUCAUUAUUAAUUUUCUUUCUCACAAGAUAAACUAGUCAAAGUACAAUAUAUAUAUAAAUCUAAAAUCAAAGUUUAUAAAUAUAUAUAUUAAACUAAUGAGUAAAUAUAUUUAAUUUAUCAUUACAAAAACAUGCUGAUCCAACAAAAAUCUAAAGUUUAUACAUAUUUAAAAUUAUAAACAUAUAAAAUCAUAUAAAGUCAAUAUAUUCCUAAAUAGACUCCCAUGCAUAAUUUUUCUUUAACUUGUCACGGAAUUUCUCAAUAAAUCCGUAAUCUCUCGAGUAAGAACUUCAAUCAUUCGAUUGGCAUCAACGCUCUCGCGUGCGCCUUAACUAACUCACCCAUUUUGGUUCGAAUUCUUUGAAAUUUUACAGAUACUUCCUCAUAGUCAUCCACCCAGAACGGCAUCGCUACUGCACUGAAAUUCAAAAUUUUUAUAGAAAUCGAUCAAAUUGAAUUGAUUAGAAAGAGAAGAGAUAGUUACCUGGAAGUGGAAGGAACUGGAAAGAGGAGUCUUUUUGGGUGACGACGGAGGAGCUUUGAAUUGCUUUCUCAACCAAUCAAAGCUAGCUUUGGGUGGGCUUUGCUCGUUUUUCUGGAUCACGACUGUCCCAGUUAAGACUGUCCCAGUUAGAUCUCAAUCGAUGAAUCAUCUGAUUAACUCACCAUGUUAAACCAUGUUAUGCAGAGUCAUAAAAAUAUAUUGUGAAGUUGAUUAUAAUUAAAUCAUAAACAAAUCUCAAAGUAAUCCUUUAAAUAUAAAAUAAUUAUCGUUUUUUUUUUCAAUUGUAUCUCAACAUGUCAAAAAUCCUCAAUCAAACUAUCCUUUAAUGUCCAACAAAUCUAUCACAUGUGGGGUUAAUUUACUAGUAUGUCAUGUAGUUGAGGAAUGGUUUGAGAUUUGUUUUAAAAUCAAUUUGGGGAUGAAACCAGCAGAUUUUUAACCAAUUCAAUUAAUUAUUCUUAACAAACUUGAUGAAGGGAUAUGAUUUAGAAUUUCUAAAUACGUUUUGAGAUGUUCCAAAAAAAAAAAUAUAGAAUAAAAUCCAAUACUAAUGUCCCCAUCCAUAGUUUUUAGACCGGUUCAAGAUUUGGAUUUCGAGUUUUGAUCGGGUCACCAGGUUAUCCGGGUCAAAAAAAAUUUAAAAUAAAAAAUCAACAGGUUGCAAGCAGAUUUUUAACCAGAUCUUGCCGAGUCACACAAUUUCCCUUUUCUUAUUUUUUUUAAUCUGAUCAGAUUUCAAUCUUGAAUUAAUCAGGUUUCAGAUCGACUUGCCAGACUAGAACGAGUUUUAAUACUAUAUCCCAAUCCAUUUCUUCUGAAUAGACUAGGGUAUGCAUGGUUACCCCUCUCAAAUCAAUCAAGCUCAACAAAUCAGAAGGGUCUGAACUCUAAAUUGUAAUUGAUGAGGUAUUUUACUAAUUCAAAAGAUAAUAUUUUUAGAUUGUGUUUUUUUUGUAUUAAAAAAAAAAUAUUUUUUUAAAAAAUCUACUUUAAUUUUUUUUAUAUAAUUUUACAUCAUUUUAAUAUAUUAAUAUCAAAAAAUAAAUAAAUAUUAAUUUAAUAUAUUUUCAAAUAAAAAAACAUUUAAAAAUCAAACAUAAUCACUGUAAAAAAAAUAAAAGGCAAAGGCAAUAAUAAAAAAAAAAACCAAAGAAGACCAGACAACCUAGGUCGGUUAGCACAGGCCCACAAGACAGAACUUAAUUAACAAGUAAAUUUUUCGAAACAUAGCAUCAAACCUUUUAGGGACUAGAAAGUCAUAUAAUAUACCAGCGUAGAAGAAGUCCACUGUCUUGUCGGUCUAAACGACCUCAACAAGAUAAAUACGUGGUUGAGGGCUGAGCGUAGUUUUUUGUGAUAAUAAACGGAAGGCCGAGGGCAAUUUGAUAAAUCGGAAUUCGUGUCCUUAAGAAUCUAUUUAUUAAUCAACAUCACCUCCGUCUUUUCUCUGAAACUUUCACUUGCCUUCUUCGUCUUCUUCUUCUUCUUUGGCUGCUGCUCCUUGCUCCUGCUCUACUGCUCUACUGCUACUCUUUUUUUCCACAGAUAGAAAAUCAAGAAAUCUGCCAUAAAAAGAAAGACAGAAAGUUAAUUGAUUUUUAUUCAACUGAUUAUUAAAUUAAAAUGGAAGAUGAUACAUGGAGCUUUGGUCUCUCCACUUCUUCUUCAAGAAGCUAUCAAUCUGCUCUCAAGUCUCUUUCUGGUAUGUUUAAGAUUCAUUUUUUCUUCUGUCAUUUUUAUAUCUGUUUGGUUUUUUCCUGUUGUUGUCUUCUUCUUUUUUUCUCUUUUAGGGUUUUUUUUUUACUUUUGUUAAUUAUAAAAGGUGGGUUGUUGUUGAAACAGAUCUUUGUAUUGAUUUUGAAGAUAUAGAAGAAGAAGAUGAUGAUUUAAGGACGGAGUAUCCGUGUCCUUAUUGUACAGAUGAUUUUGAUUUAGUUGAAUUGUGCUUCCAUAUCGAUGAAGAACAUUAUUUAGAAGCCAAGUCAGGGGUAUUUUACUUUACAUUUCUACUCUUUAAAAAUAUCACGUUCCUUUUAUUUAUUGUGUAGCUGCCUUAUAUUGACUGCUUGCGCUGGGUAACCAUUUAAUGCUUUUCGUUGCUCUAUAUUGACUGCUGAGUAGAACCUAUUGAAUCAAGAGGGAUCGGUUUACGGUUUCAUUAAUUGGCCAUCUUUCUCUUUUUAACAGUAGCUACGGGUGAAAAAGUUUGGUUUAUAUCUAUUCAAUGCCUUUCGUACUUAGCUUUUAAGCGUUUGUAAUCUGGGCCAUGUGCUUUUUAUUAAAGAGUUGUUGAACUAGUUUGAUAUUGAAUCCUAUUUCUACUUUUGUUUUUGUGGAUAAAAACGGAAAGGGUUAUUGUAAAGAAUCAUAAUACAUUCUUCUUCUUGGAAGUCUUUCCGUCUUAUAUACCAUAAGCUCAUGAACUGUAAGUGUUGACAUUAAUCUUCCUUGAAAAUUGCAUUUUUAUUCAACAGGGUCUCAAGCUUCUUACUAAUGCAUGAUUUGUUAUUCAAGUUUCUGCACAUGAACAUUCUCAUUUGGAUUAGGUUAUCUCCUUUCACUUCAUUUCUAUUGCACUGAUAUAAUGGAUCGUGUUUCUUUGAAUUACGAAUUUAUCUUGAUUCUGUUGAGGUAAUACCCGAAAUGAGAAAUUACAUCUGGAUGAAUCUGUUGAACUGAUAUCAAUUUGUUUUGUAAAGAGAAAGGAGGGGAGUAAGUGAUCUGUUAUGCAUGUAUGAGGUUCAUUUAAUACGUACUACCAUCAGUAAAAUGAGGAUCUUUUCGCAUUGGCCUAGUCAAGCUUGAUAUACAAGUCUUGAAGUACAAUUUGCUCAUAAUCACCAAUAUGUGUUUGCAGGUAUGCCCUGUUUGUUUCACCAAGGUGGGAAUGGAUAUGGUUGAUCACAUAACAACAGAACAUCGAACCAUUCACAAGAUAUCCUUUUUGUUUGAUUAUUGGAAAUUAUUCAUCUUUUCACCUCAUUUACUUGAUAUCUACUUUCCAUCUUGCUUACUGCAUCUUGUUCUUUUACAGUCAGUUGAAUUGCUCUUAGUUCUUUUAUUUAGACUUGAGGCCAUGUCUACAUCCUUGAUUAUAAAUUACAGUUUGCAAAAAUUGAAACUUGGGAGAGUAGAAUCACACUCAAAUUAUUCUUUUCUGAAGAAGGACUUAGAGGAUGGGUAUUUGCAAUCAUUACUUAGCGGAUCAUCCUCGGUGGUUUCUUCCUCCAACUUGGCACCUGAUCCCUUAUUGUCAUUUAUUUGCAAUGUAUCCCCUGCUGAGAAGUAUGAUAGUGUACAGCCUAGUUGUUCAAGUAAAGCAACCAUAGAAGAGAAAAGUUCAGAUGAGAAACUGUUGGAAAGGUUAGUUGUUUGGUUAUGCUUUAUGACAUCAGUCACAUGUGUGCUAAUGUUUUUUCCUAUUAUUAUUUUGUCUUUGGAAAAAAAAUCGAAGUACUUGUUAUUUGGUAAGGUAAAAAAAAUGUAUGGCAGUUCACAGAUGGUUGAAAGAAUAUACACAAGGUUAGCUUAAAUAGUGAAGUCAAAGUGUGGAAAGAGAGAAUUUGAAAAUGGUGAAAAAAAUGUGUCCCGCUCCCUGUUUGGGGCCGUGAUGUUAGGAUCUGCAAAGCUUUUCUUAAGUUUUUAGCUGAAUUAAUUUUGAUGUGAUAUGAAUAGGUUGUUUGGAACCAAAUUCAAUUAUAGUGUUUGACUUAAAUUCAAUUGAUAAAUAAGUUGAAUUUAUAUUUUCGGAAAAGAUAAAAUUUAAUUCAUUUUGUUUCCUAUAUUACCCUUAUUAUCUUCAUCUUUGGUAUUUUGGAAAAGUUAGAUUUAAUAUUAAAUUUUUUCUUUUCGGAAUUAUAAAUCAUAGGGGUUGACCUCUAAUUUACUUUUUUAGUAUUUUUAGAGAUUGAGUUCCAUUUGGAAUUUAAUUCUUAACACUUAAAAGGAUUCUAAACAUGAGAUUUCAUUAAAAAUUUUGAAUUUAAUUCAAUUCAAUUAAGAGGGUUUCAAUCAUGUUGGAAAGGGUGAUAUAAGUGAUUGGUGGGUCACAGCAUUUCCAAUGUUACAAGUGCAAAUUACUGCUAAUUUGUUAGUGAACAAUGAUGAGAAGAAGAGUUGGAUGCAUAUGACAUUUUAAAAAUGAUGGGAGAGCCAUAUGAUAGGGUCGCACCACCAUCAUUAUAGCAUGCGCAUGGAUUUUCUGUGAGUGGAAAGAAUAAAACUGAACUCUUGUGAGGUUGUAAUCAAACAUUCCAAAAUAGGAAGGGGGGAACAUUAUCCAAGUGGUCAUCAUGAUGAACAAGAAAGCCCUACGCCUGAUUCCAAGUUCAAUGCAAUCUUGAAGUUCCUGUUGCUUGAUUUAUUGUCUUAUGCUGUAUGAUAUUUUGCAGUUUUUCAUACUUUCUUGUAAGAUAGAAUAGGAUGAGGAUCAUGAUUCAGCAAAGGUCGUCCAUAUCAAUACUGCUACUAUAUCGUUUUCUUGCAAUACCAACUCUGUUAGUAUUUUUAUGAUUGCAGGAAUGAUCACAUAUCACCUUUGUCGGAUGAGGAGCACAUGGAGAAGGCAAAGAGAAGUGAGUUCGUACAGGGACUGUUAUUGUCCACCAUAUUCGAUGAUGGCCUAUGAUGAAACAUGGUAUAAGCGUUGUUGAUGUCAACUUGAGAUUAUAACAAAACAAGUCUAUUUUCAAUGCUGUCUAUGUUGAAUAUACCUUGACCAAGAGAGCUAGAUUAGAUGCAGCACUGAAUUGUAUCCCACAAUUGUAUGGAAUCCGUAAGGCCAGAUCGGAGCCAGAAUUUUAUGUACUUUAAUUUUCAAAGCUCCUUGUGCUUAAUUGAAAUUUAGGUUAUUCUUCUAGCAACGUUUCAAAUUCAAAUAUUGUGCACUUUAGCCUGCAUGGGAAUUUAUUUAUUUAUUUUUAUUUUAAAUUAAUAUUUUUUUAGAACUUUUAAAUAAUUUUGAUGCACUUAUAUUAAAUGAGAAUAAAGCUGGUAAAAGCUCAGAGACGGCCUGAUGGAGCACCCAAGCGAUUACUCCAUUUCAGCAAACACCCAUUUAGUUAGAAAAUAACUCAUUCCCCUCGAACGAAGAAUGGAUGAAGAAAAAAAUAAAACACUUCUGCUUUAGAAUGGAGAGGUUCAAAAUACUGAGAAACUGAAGCGAGUACUUGUUUUGCUGCAUUCACCGAGUCUGCUGGCUGAGGGGUCUUUGCUCCUCCUCCUGUAAACUGCGGCCAAAAGACCUUCCAAUUUCAAACUUAUACGAUGCUUUUAGGUUCAUCCUCCCCCCACACAGAAAAUGAGUAAUUGCCAUACCUUCCUCAUCACCACGAGACUUUUUGUGGGGAGCAGAAUUUGAUUACUUUUUAUAAUUGACGUUUGUUCUUCAGUUUAGGCACACCAGGUCUUAAAGCUGUAUGAGCAGACUCCAAGAUAUCACCCCCUUUAUCUUCACUGGAAUUUGAUGCAGCGGGAGCCGAGAGCUCUGUGGCAUUCCACAAGAGUUGGCAGUCUUGAAAUCAUUUUACAGCUCUGCAUAUUGAGCAGAGAAGCAGUGUCUUUCAUCACUCUCUUGAUCACUGCAUACUGUACAAAAAUCUUUUAAUAAUAUGGGACAGGCCGGGUCAUGAAAUGCCGUGUAUCAUAGUCUUUUUAUGAUAUUCUCCCUUCAACGACUCUUCAUUUUAACUGGCUAUUUGACCAAAAAAAUUGAAUAUUCAGGUUUAUUUGACCGCGUUUUGUUAAGAGAAGAAUAAAAAAAAGAUUAGUAAAAAAAUAAAUAUGUAAGUUCUUCAAAGUACUUUUUGGUAUAAAAUUUUUUUAAUUAUAAAUUAAAUGUUUAUACAUAUAUUUAAUUAAAUAAAUUAAUAAUUAAAAUAUUUAAUUUUACAUGUAUUUUUUGAUUUAAUAAGUAGUUUAUAAAAUUUAUGAGUAUUAUGAUGUUUUUUUAAAAUUAUAAUAAUACUAUGUAAAGAAAUAAAAUAUAUAAAAAAAUUAAUUCCCGAAAAAAUAAAAAAUAAAACAGAUAUUAACCAGCAGCCAAAAACUUUUUCUCCUUUUCUUAUUUUUUAUUAUUUUUGAUGAGGUCAGUGCAAAACUAUAUAUAAUGACGAGUAUGAAAAUUAUAACCUAGUUUAAAUAAAAAAAAUAAAAACAGUCAGAGAAAGUGGGACCCAGGUGCGGCGAAACGUCCGGCUGAGAGAUGAUAGGCCAAUCAAAUAGAGCUUAGACCACAGAAACAGAUUUCUUUAUUAGUCCAUAAAAUAAAAAUCACAGACACACACACAGUGAAUUGAAUCUCUCGCUAUCUCUUCCUACAAUACAAGGGAGAUGUUCUUCCCUCCACCCUAUCGACACCUACCCUCUACUUCGAUUUCUUGGCUCCUUUAAAGAGGAGAGAGCUGAAGCGAGUUUUUGUCAAAAUUAUUAAGCAAAACUCUAACAGAGCCGGACGGAUUCAAGAAGCAAACAAAACAGAGGAUCAUCUUCUGGCCAUGCGACUCUGCCUGUCUGCAAACUCCCUCUCGAGAGAGGGUUCUUUGUUUUCUUUCUGUUUCUCAAGUCUCUGCUUUUUUCUUCUUUUUACAAGAAAUGCCCACCACCGAUUCUCAUGCUCAUGCCCCUACUAAUCCCAAGCAAUGUCUUCUCUGCAACGCCGGCGCUGGUGCUGCUGCAGGUACUAUCCCUUUUUUCUUUAUUUUUUUUCUCCAGCUUAGAUCAAUUACUUGAAACAUUGAUGCUCUUCUUUUUAUUAUUAUUCUUUAAUUUGGGUGCAGGAGUUAUUGCUGCUACAUUUGUGUGUCCUUUAGAUGUUAUCAAGACCAGGUUCCAGGUCCAUGGUCUGCCUAAGUACGAUGUUGCUACUAGUAGUAUUAAAGGUUAGAUUUUUUUUUUUAAGAAAAAAAAAUUAUCUUCUUUGCAGGUUCCGUGUAAUUUGCUUAUGAAUUACAGGGUGUUUUUAAUUUUGGUCAGGGAGUCUUAUAGUUGGUAGUUUGGAACAAAUAUUUCGGAGGGAGGGGCUGCGCGGCAUGUACCGGGGGCUUGCUCCAACUGUGCUAGCAAUGCUUCCUAAUUGGGCUGUAAGUUGUAGUAUUACGUGCUCAAUUUAGUUGCCUGCUCAUUUCUUAUAAACAUAAAUUUCAAGAAUAGUGAUUUUGUUUCUGACUUUUGCUUUGUACAUUACAACAUUUAUUUAUCGGUGUAAAACUAAAGCACUUGACUUGAAUUUACAUUUUAGUUUGUGCGGAGUGUGUGAUAAUGUUUGCAAGUGUAGUUCAGAGCUUGCUUAUGAGAAUCUGGGGGCAAAAAACACCUAUAAACUCUGUUAUUAUGCAAUUAACUUUGUUUGCCUUCUUGUAAGAUGCUUGAAUUGUAGAAACAUAUUGAGCGAAAUGAUGAAAGAAGAAAAUAAUCCACUCACAAGAUUGAAUAAACAAUGAUUAACUUGUCGUUCUCCUCAAUCCAUAAAUCAUUUGGUGAAUUCAGUGCUAUAGCACAAGCUAUUUUUAGUGCCACCAUGUGUUGGAUCUUUGAGGCCCUUCAUUGACUUGGUUCUCUAUCCUCAGAAUAAGUAAUCACUAGUGAGAACUGAGGCCGCAGGUUGAGUUUUUAAUAUAAUGAAAUGCACUCGGUCAAAUUUAUAAUCUUUGAUUCUCAUUUCUCAUUUCCCCCAGCUUUUGAAGACUUCCUUUUUUUGCAGAGCAUGCUUCUUUGAAUUUCUUCUGCUGAAUGACCUAAUUUUAUAAUUUUUGCAGGUUUAUUUUACGAUAUAUGAACAGUUCAAAAGCUUUCUUUGUUCCAAUGGUUAGUGCUGAUUUGCUACCUUUACGGGUGGUAAAGCAAAACUUGAUUGUUGCUUUCUUUUUUCCCUGUGGCAUAGUUUUUUGUUAAGUUACCUUUUUUUUAGUGUUAAUGAGCUCGUGAUUGUGUUGUUUGUGUAGAUGAAAGUCAUCACCUUUCAAUAGGUGCUAACAUGAUAGCUGCUUCUGGUGCUGGAGCGGCAACAACUAUUUUCACAAAUCCUCUUUGGGUUGUAAAGACAAGACUUCAAGUGCGUUUGUUUAGUUCACGUCUUAUUUUUUCUGUAAUUGUAAAAAAGAUACUAAUUAACCUAGCACUCACCAAUUGAAGCAUCUAAAGAAUAUUUAGACCAGGUUUCCUUUUUUUACACCUUGUAUCAUUAGCAUGAUGCAUAUAGCUCAUUUGAGUCAAGCUUUUUGUUUGUUUCCAUGAUGAACAUGCCAUGCCCACAGCCAUGAUGCACAUUCGAGGAUGGGCCAAGUGUGAGCUCACAUGAUGGAGAGGGGAGGACCUCCUCUCGAGUUCACAUUUGUUAUUAUUUUCCGAGAGUAAGAUAUCCUACUUGUCCAGUCAACAACAAUGCAUUUGCCUGUGUGAAACCAGGUAGUAUUAGCUAGAUUGAUGUGCUUAGGAGUUCCCUUUCUUCUUCUUGUUAAUUUAGUUGCUUGUGAUUAUUAUUAUAUUUUUGAUUUAUUUUAUAUGAUAUGUUUAUGCAAUGUGUACUUAAGUCAUGACCUUGAAAUUUGUGCAUUGUACAAGGUAAUGAUAAUUAAAUCUUCUAUACAUGUAAAUGACUUGUUCUGGCGUGGAAAGUGGAAAGAUAGGAGAAGAAAUAAAUUGAACAUAGAAUCCUUUAGUAGGCCACUAGCUGGGAAGAUGAGUGGAUGCAUGCGUAUUUCAAGGAGCUGAGGAGGUCAGCAUUCACAGUAUUGUUUGCUUUUGCUCUGCAGACUCAAGGAAUGAGAGCAGGUAUCGUUCCAUAUAGGAGUACACUGUCUGCUUUGAGAAGAAUAGCUCAUGAGGAAGGCAUGCGUGGGUUGUACAGGUAUUGAAUUCUACAAAGAAUAUCAUUGGAUUGUGUUAGAUAUUUAUGUCUUUAGUUUGAAGGUGAGAUUUAAUAUCUUGUGUGGCAAUCAGUGGUCUUGUGCCUGCAUUGGCUGGUGUUAGUCAUGUUGCCAUCCAAUUUCCAACAUAUGAGAAGAUCAAAAUGUACUUGGCCACCCGAGGUAAUUUAUAACCAGUUUUACUCUCUUUGUAAUUUGAAAGAGGAAAGAAUUUUUUUUCUAGUUAAUUUCUUGUUCCAGGUAAUACCACAAUGGAUAAACUAGGUGCACGUGAUGUUGCUGUUGCCUCAUCAGUCUCCAAAAUAUUUGCUUCGACAUUGACAUAUCCACAUGAGGUAUGUUCUUGAAAAAAUAAUCUGAUGUCAUUAGUUAAUAUAUCCGUGUUCACUAAUCAGCAUGAAAAGUAUAAAGGUCCUUGAUGCUCAACUGCUCCCCACCUUCUCUAAGGUUCAGGGAGCUCUAUAAUAUUUCGAUGGUCUUCUUUUGGGGUUGUAUGUGUUUUUAAAGUGCAAAAAUUUGGAUAAUAAUGAAACACUUCUUGCUUGUAAUUGGAAGUUCCAUGUCAUUUUUUAGCAAUCAGAAUCAAAUUUUAAAUGUAUUUUCGAAGCUGCCUGUGAUUGUAGAAUUGUUAUUGAGAUUGUUUUGUUUAUAGGCAUGUUAUAAAAUUCAAACUUAUUAUGUAAUGAAGAGUGCAGUCACUUUUAUCUUUAAAAUAAAAAUCUUAUGAUGCUGUUUCUUACCCUCGGAAGCUUUUGCGGGUAGUAAGAAUCACUUAGCAUUCAAGUUUCAGUUUUAUGAGCUUGUGACAUAGUUUAAAAAGAUACCUGAAAUAGGUAAAUAUGAGAAUUGUGCUCACUGACAAAAAAAAAAUACCCUGAAUGCCAAUGCUUAAGGACUUCCCUUGGAAAUCCUGUGAAGUGAUGGGAUACAGCUUUAAAAAAUUCCCUUAUUUCAUUUCGCCACCAAAAAAGAAUUGCUGAGAAAAAGCUAUCCCAAAUAACUCUAUUGCCCAUAUAGAAAUCACAUCCUCUCCAGGCCAUUAACUUUGUACCAACUUUCUUGGAUCUCUAUAAACCCACAGCUCCACGCACCAACUCCUGUAAGCUUCUUGCUUGCUUACUUUCUAUGUGACACUAAAUGCUUGACUAGGAUUAGUAGCUAGUUGUCUUGGUUGACAGGAAACUCUUACAGAUUAAUUUAUUCUCUCAUGAUUUUGUAGGUAGUACGCUCAAGGCUUCAAGAACAAGGCUUCCACUCAGAAAAGCGUUACUCUGGUGUGGUUGAUUGCAUAAAUAAAGUAUUUCAACAAGAGGGUCUCCCUGGAUUUUACCGUGGUUGUGCCACCAACCUUAUUAGAACAACCCCCGCUGCUGUUAUUACAUUCACUAGCUUUGAGAUGAUUCACAGGUUUCUUGUCACCCUUUUCCUUCCUGAUCCACAGCCUCACACAUUGUGAAGAUGGAUCUUAUUUGAGAAUAUUGCAUGGAUAGAUAUGGCUCGCAUUGCCUUGAACUGCAACAUGGAAGAGCAGACGAGGUCAGUCAGUGUCAUGAUGUCUUUGUGAUAAUCCUUUCUCUAGAUUAUAUUUAUGUAUUCUUCAUUGUCUCAGGUAGUUCUUAGAAAAACUGGAUGCAUUGAUGCCCACAUCCCUCAUUGAAAUUCUGCAACAAGAAGUUGUCAGAUGGGGAGUGAAUAUCAAUUUACACUGACAGUGAUAGUGAUGAUAAAAACGAGAUGCUGUGUGAAAUUUUCAUAUCAGAACAUUCUUUUAUGAAUAAUAAUCAGAAAUCAUUUAACAUCGUCUACUAAAGAUUUCACACGCUGCAUCCCCUUAGUUAUAACCUGUGACCAAAAAACAUGCUGCAUAAAGAUUGUUCAUUGUGUGUGCAUGAUGGCAACAAACCUUGAAACAACUUCCUGCAUCAUGCUGAAAUAUCGAUAACAGUGAUUGGUAUUGUGAACUCGUUGUCUUUAUUGAGGAGCCCUAGGACUUUGCAAUGGCAUGCCAAUCUAUUCAGUGAUUACCAGGCAAUCGAAUGGGUGCGUGCCAGAUGAAAAUUGGCCAUAAUUAAUGCCACUCGAGGGCUGUGAACAAUAGCGAUCCUGGAUCAAGUCUUGUUUCUGAUAAAAAUAUUUAUUUCGGUAUUCAAUAGCUUUGUACAUUAACUGCGAGAAACCCAGUUAGCUCUUACAUCUUAUGGUGUGUAGCAUGGAUUGAAAUUCAAUUAUUGUAUUUGAUUUGAAUUUAAUUGAUAAAUAAAUUGAAUUUAUAUAUUUGAAAGAGAAAAAAUUCAAUUCAUUAGAUUUCUUGUAUUAACCUCAUUACCUUCAUUUUAUUUUUUUAAAAAGAAGUUACAAGGAUAUUUCAAAAAAGUUAGUCUUAAUAUUAAAUUAUUUUUUUUUGAAUUGUAAAUUAGAAGGGUUUGACCUAUUUAAUUUUAUAUUAUUUUUAAAGAUUAAAUUCUUAACAAGGGCUCUACAGAUUUAAUAUUAAAAUCUCUUAAUUUCUUAAAGGAUUCUAAACAUAUUAAUAAAAUAAAACAGAAAGUCCUAAGUAAUGGGCCUGUGUGUUGUUGUAAGCCGAAAGUCCUAAGUAAUGGGCCUGUGUGUUGUUGAAAGCCCUCUCACAAAUCAUGUUUUUGUAUUUUAUUAAUUUCAAUUAAAUUUUCAAAGAAUUAAAAUUAAAAUUCACAAAUCAUGGUUUUGUAUUCUAUUAAUUUCAAUUAAAUUUUCAAAGAAUUAAAAUUAAAAUUCACAAAUCUUCGAUUUUCCCACAUUUUUCAAUAAUUAAAAAAAAAAAGUACCUCAAACUUAUCCUAACAACCUCCAUAAAAACCGUUUCUAACUUCAAAAUUCUAUUACAAACCAGAGGUCUUAAAUUGAAUGUAAAGUCUUGAAAUGAAUACAUAUUUCGGCUUCCAUCUCCACUUUUCGGCCAUGAAUAAGUAUUUCGUACGUACCAAUCUAUUCAACUCACUCGUACGACCUCUUUGACAUUUUUUUACUCUGAUAAUUUUCAAAAGAACCACUGUUGUUAUCUUCUCUCUUUCCUUGCUUCUCCUCAAUUUUUUCCUCUCCCCCUCAGCUCGAGAGAUAUAGCUCAACUGGUUAGGUUUUAGGUUUAUUUUCUAGAGAUCGCUAAUUCGAGUCUCACAAAUCUCACGGCCACUAUAGACUUACAUGGUCGUUAACUUCAAAACUCGUAGGAUUAGUCGAGGUACGCACUAAUUGACCUGGAUACCCACAUUAAUAAAAAAAAAUUAACAAAAUAAAUGUUAGGAAAUGAUCCUUACAAACAUCAAAUUAACAAGUGGGAAGAUACUAUAGACACAGAUUUAUAGACACUGUUCACUAGAACAUUGAUGAUGAUUUUGCCCUUCUCACUAAAUACUUUGUUUGAGAUUGUGGUAGCGGUUCCGGUUCAAAAUACUUUUCGUUUAAAAAUAUAUUAAAAUAAUUUUUUUAUUUUUUAAAAAUCAUUUUUGAUAUCAGCAUAUCAAAACGAUUUGAAAACAUAAAAAUUUAAAAAAAAUAGCAAAAAAAAAUCAAAAUUUAAGAGAACACGAUUUGCACCACGUUCCCAAACAAGCCCUAAAAAUCCUUGUAUUGGCUAUUGGAACCAUUCAGAUUUUUUCAAAAAGUUCAAUGGUUACUACCAAAAUAAAUCAGGACAAGUAAUCUUUCUUCAUUUUAAAUGCACAGUGAAACAAUUAAAAUAUCAUUGGAAAAAAAAAUUUAAUUGACAUUAAGGGUCAAUUUUGUAUUUUCACAAUGUUUUUUUUUUCGAUUAUCACUUCAGCUAAGGAAAAAUUUGGUAUUUGACCAAAUAUUAAAAAAAACAAAAACAAAAAGCACAAUGAAAUAGUAAAAUGUCUGAAAAAAAAAAAUUAAAAUUGUUGUUAAGGGGAUUUGUUUUGUCUUUUCACAAUAGCUUUUUCAUUAUUAUCGUAUCAACUUAAGAGUAAUUUGAUAUUUAACCAAAUAUAAAGAAUAGAAAAGAUUGGAGAGCGCAUGUGGCACACUCUUUGAUGCGUGGGAGGUGCCUGAGCCAUUCAGGCGACGCUUGUAAUGCCUCUCGGCAUCAAACAUUGCCCUUUUACUAUGUCAUUAGAAACGUUGUCGUAUUCCCUUCUUGGUGGUGUAGCGUGUGUAAGCGUUGGUGGUCCGGUUUGUUAUAGGAUACCUUGAUUUUUCUUUUCAAUUUCACAUUUUCAUAAAAAAAAAAAUUAUUGUAAUUUUGAUCCUUAUUUUUUUAUUGUUUUUUUGGUCUUUCUGUUUAAUUAAUUCCUCUUUCCAACUUCACACUUCAAUUAAACAUAAAAUUUAUUUUGUAUUUCAAUUUUAAUCUUCAUUCUUUUAAUUAUUAUUUUUUUGUUUUGGAUCCUGUCGUGCAAUUAAUGUUCUUUUUCUAAGUUAAUCCUUCAAUAUUUAAUUGGUUAAAAAUUGAACUUUGUGAUUUUUUCAGAUAGAGUGCUUAUGGUCUAAUGCUUCAGGUCCCAGUUUGAAAAACCAACACAUGUUGACAUUAUUUUUUGUUUUUUUACUUAUUUUUUUUUCAGCUUUGUGAUUUUUUUACAUUUUCUUUUCUAUUAGAUUAUGAUGAUCUUAUGGCCUGAAUUGCAGGUUUAGAGGGUUAACCUGAAUUGACUUGCCCUUUAUUCCCUGAGUCACAAGUUUGUCAUACCACCUCAAAAUGACUCUAGCUGGGUUUUUUUUUGUUUUUUUUUAACCAAUUUCAUCAUUAUGUGUUUAAUAGGUUGAGAAUUGAGUUAUAUUAUUUGUAUAUUUUUACAAAAAUAUUUUUCCUCGAGAUAUUGUUAUUGUUUUUUAUUUAUUUAUUCUGGUUAAUUUGUUAUUAUUAUCUAUUUUUUUAUCAUUUAAUUAAAAUAAAAUAAAAUUAACUUAUUUGAUAUAGUUUGGUCUAUAAAUUAACAUAUUUUUUUUCAUUUUUAAAAACACUUGCACUACUUGAACAUUAUUUUUAACCCAUUAAAAAAAAACCAUGCGGCGUAGCGUGUAUACACGACUAGUGUGAAGGACUAAAUCGAAUAUAGAUUUUAAAAAAUCACUUAAAAUGUUUAAUAAAACCAUGACGUUUCAUGCCAAACAAUCCAAAAUGAUUUCGUUUUGACCAUAAUAAACAAUAUAUAAGAAUGUCUAAUCCACUAUGAUACUCGGUCUAGAGCAACAGUACAGGACUUUCUUUUGUUAUUGUUAUGUUGAUUGUUAGUAAAAAAUGUAGGCCUGCCUUUGUAAAUGGGCAAAAUCUUGACUGUGAGGGCUACUAGCAUCCAUAGGCUUAAGUUGUGAAACCCAACACAGAAUUUGGAUAUCUGUGUGAGCUGCAAAAGGAUCCGUUGUUAGCGGGCUUUACACUAAUUAACAGAGACCAAGCUGGGUCUGGGAAUUAGGUUCUUUCUUUGAGCAAUUGCACUCUUGAAUUUUCUUUGAGCAAGCCUUGCAGGCAUGGAUUCUUCCCAGUUUACCAGUCGCAGGGCAUGUACAGCAGGGUAAUAGUGCUGGUUGCUGGAAGAGCCAAAGAAACCUUUAGCUUUGGUAUUGUAUGCUGCCUGAAUCAAGGGAUCUCUGUAUAUUUUCUCAGUACAAAGAAAGAAAGAAGGGGGGGAACAGGAAAGGAUCGCCUAGCUUGGUUGGAAAACUCAAGUGUCUAAUCACUCAAAAGUUUCUAUUCCUGAUACGAUAGCCCGUUUAAAGGUUUAUCUCAAAAGCUUACUUGCAAAUUAAAGCUUCAUUAUUCAGAUUAGGAGGGCAAAUCCUUAUCCCAGCGAGAGAACUGAAUUAUUUGCCCCUUAAAAAAGUUAUACCCCACUGAAAAGCUCGAGGACUUAAAACAAAGAACGUGAUUUGAAAAAUCUUCUCCUCAUUUCUAUUCCUUGGUGCCAGUUAUUAGUGUAAUAAUAAAGGGAAUAGUGCCCACAAUUUGACAACUCAUUAUCUGAAAAAGGGAAUCCUAUGAGCCUCAUCUCCUCAUGGGAACAUUAAGGCAACAGAGUUAGAGCCCGGAGGUCAAGUCGGUUAAUCAAGAAAUCCUUUUUUGACAUUCUACGUGCAAGGGAACUCUCUUGUUUUUCCCAUUUUGUUGGAAAAACAGAGUUUAAGUUAUUGAUCGAAGCAGGAAAGCUGAGCCAUUAAAUGUGAUCAAAAGCUGGUCAAGACACUUUUGACAAAUGAGGCGGCUAAGCUCAAUAAAAGACAUUCCAUGAAGCAGAUCACGUAGAAGAACGGGCAGAAGCCUUAAAUUCACCUUGGAAUUCUAUGUGGGUGGGUGGCCAGUCUUUGAUAUUGCAAACAACUGCCCUCUCAUCACUCAUCAUAGUUUGGUCGGUUCAAAAGUAUAGAGCCCUGAAAAAAAGAAACAGAGAAUAAGGAGUGCAAUGGUUUCAUGAUUCAUUGGGAAUGCUGGUUGGCCCACCCAUAAUUAUAAAACAAGAAAAAAAGGAGGAACAGUCUAUGAUGCUCCUCCUGUGCUCUUCCUUUCUCAAUACCUUCCACUUUCGUUGUAUUUGAUUAAGGCUAACCCCAAAAGCUUAAACAAGAAGCGCUCUGUUGCAGACUCCUUAACAAACUGCCAUUUCUUGGGUGUAAAGGCUUGUUUUAUAUAUGUAUAUCCUUAAUCUUAUUACAUGACAUUCGCUCAGUAGUUUUUAACUGUGUUUUGUUGUUAGAUUUCGCUGGUGCUUGCUUUCCAGAUGGACCUGCGAUGAAUAUUUUCAUUUUUUGACCUUCUGGCCAGCAAAGAAUAAUAAUUGUAAUGAUUGCUAGGUGCCUUUAACUUUGCCAUGACAUGGCUACUGUUAGUUCUUUUUACUAUGCUCAUUCCCUCCAUGGAAAGCCUGAAGUUACCCUUGAAAAGCCACUGUUUCUGUUUAGUGCACACAGGUGGGAGUUAUUUAGCCUUCCAGACUAGGCCCCUGUUCCCCCUGUGGAGGCUGGAGCCCCCAUGAAAAUAAAAAUAUUACGAGGAUGCCAAAGUAUUCUUAACAAAUCCCUUCGGCCAAACUAAAAUUAAAAAAAAAGGGGCACCAAAUGGUAGGCAAUUGAGGUUGGUGGUUCUUCUUUCUAUUAUAUAUCUUGCUUGUAUAUUGCUCAAAUUGGGUAAACCUUUGUGCCUUUAUUAGUUACACAGCAUUCAGUAUGCAUAUAAUCAUACAUUUGGCCAAAUCCGGUUUCUUAAUUGUUAUAAAAAAAUUACAGCAAUUAUUGAUGAAUUUUAUAAUAGGAAAGAAACUAGAAAAAAAAUACACCACCUAGACUAUUUUUACGGGUCCUAAAGUUAACGACCAUGUAAGCCUUCAAUAACCUUGAAAUUUAUGAGACUCGAACGGGUGAUAUCUAAAUAGCAAAUCUAGAAUCUAAUCACUUGAGUUAUCAUUCAUGAUUCGAUAAUAUAUUUUAAUUCAUAGGCGCGAGGAAUUCUAGGCCAAGAAAAUCUAGACACCUUGGAAAAUGUAAAUUACAACACGAAACCAACAAGAAAAUAAAAUGGAAAUGAAUAAAAAGAUGGGCAUUUUAUUAAGUUGUGUGGAUAAGAUGAUGCAUGUGCUCCCAUUAUAUGAUGUGGCUCACCAUCUUCACGGCAUGAAUCUGCACAUUCUUGCACCAGAAAGUGAUGUGCACCUUCAUUGUAAUUCAUGAAUAUAAUCAUUUUAAGAAGCCAGGGGUCAAAUUUGUGGGUUCACCAAACAUGUGAAGCUGAUAAUUAAGGGAAAUUAAGGAAAGAUGAUUACUUCUUUGAUGCUUUAAUUAGCAAUUGAAAAUCUUAUUGUAAGCCCUCAAGCUUAACUACAACAUUUGCAAUAACAGUCCAACAAUUAACCACCUUUUGUGUACAAUACAGGACUAUGAUUAUGGAAAUAAAAUUAAUUGCCAUUUAAUAAUUUUCUUUAUACAAAAAAAGGAGGAUUAUGCGUUGGCCAAAAGGGCAUUUGGGAUCCUAGAUAGCAUGCCAUGGAGUAUGGACCAUCUGUGUAUCUUUCCGAUGAGAUCACGGUGGCUUCAAACUGAUUUUUUACUAUAAUAUGAUGUGAACAUGAGAGAAAAUCUGUGAAAAUCCGGCUUGAUUUGGUUCCAUAUUUUCCCAAUAUAGACAUUCUUUUGGGAUUAUGGUCUAAACAGAAAUUUGCUAAAAAUAAAAAAAUAUUUUAAAAAUCAAGUACCAGUAAACUCUAAAAUAUCCGUAAAGCUACCUUUCAGUUUUGGCGUAGACAUUUCUAUACAAGGCAUUUUAUUAGCACAUAAAUGGACAUGGGAGCUGCUUCUUUCCCAUACCAAGAAUAUAUGAAGUUUUCAAAUCCAUCCAUCCAUCCAUCCAUCCAUCCUUGUGCUAUCUGCCAAUUGCCUUUUUGUCAUCCAUUUUAAAAUAUUAAUUUGCCUUUAUCUCCAACUUUUUUAAAAAUAUUAUUCCUAGGAUGAAGAAUCAAAAUCUUCCUCAUAUUCAGAGAGUAAAGUUUAAGAAAAUAGAAAAACAAUUCUCCAUUUUAGAUACUUUUAAAAAUACUCUGGCUAAAAGUAUAAUUUUUUUUUUCAUUGGCUAGAAUUUGCAGCUUGUAUCAUGCACACAAACAUUCCAUUGAACUUGUUGGUUUAACUGUUCCUGCUAGAUAUUUUUUACGAUGCUUUCAGAUCAUUUUAAUAUGUUGAUGUCAAAAAUAAUUUUUAAAAAAUAAAAAAAUAUUAUUUUGAUGCAUUUCCGAGUAAAAAACAUUUUGAAAAGCAACUGCAACCACACUUCCAAACACGCUAGUCUAAUGAGUUUUUUUUUUAAUAAAUAUUUUGUUAGGGUUUUUUUUAAAUUAUUCUAUCCAUUUUUUUAACUAUAAAUCCCUAUUCAAGAUAAUAUUUUUUUAUUUAAAAUGACAAAGUUUUCUCCUUUUCUUUUCCAAAUUCAAAUAACAAGAGGAGAAAGGUCUAUCGUUCUAUAAUUUAUUUAUCAUAAUUGUUUGCCCCUUACGGUAAAAGUCACGGGCUUAGGUUGCAGUUGGCGGAACAUAUUUUUAAAGCAUCCAAUAGAGAUGUGCCACCUAACGGGAAGCACUGUGUUUACAUUGACGUGGCUGUUUCUAAUUCGCCAGUUCAAAUGUUUUUCUAAUUACACGAUCAUAACUUUGUUAGAAUAGAAUACUUUAUGAUCAAAUACUGGUCGAUCGCUCGUGAAGUGGGACCUAGUAAAGCCGCGCCCCGUGGGCCUCAACCAGAAAUCCAAAGCUGGCUGGUUCGGUACCGAACCAUCCAUUUGAAUUUUUUGAACGUUGAAGCCACCCGGUUUCUACUAGGUCACCUGGCAAGGCAGGACGCACGAUGCCAUGCUGCGGUAUUUUUUGAAAUUUAAUUUUAUGAUAAUUAAAAUAAAUAAAAACUUUAUCAUCAUCUAAAAAAAGUUUUAUAGAGAGUGUUCACCUGACAAAUGAUAUAUCAAUAUAAAUACGGUGGAUUUUUUUCUUCAUAAAAGGAUAAUAUGACGUGGAUGCAAUGUUCAGUAUGAGAUAACCAACCAGCAUUUUAUUUUUCUUUUGUUCUUUUUUAUUUUUGAAAAAAAAACAAAGCUAUCAGCGUGCUUAAUUUUAGCCAAAGUAAUGAGUAAUAUCAUUAGGUGAUCUGAACCGAUAAGAGCUACGGAAUUCCGAUCCAAAUACAGUGAACGUAAUGACAUGUCAGGCGGCGUUUGGUUAAUUCGAUCAUGAUGAAACUCCACAUAAACUGGUUGGCAACCGUUUUCAACCACCAUUCCGCUAUCUGAAAAUUACCCGCCGCCUAACAAUUGGGGGCCGUUUUCAUGUAACAUUUGGCUGUAUUACACGCAUGGAAUAUAUAUAUGGUUGCUUUUCAACUUUGUACUUGCUUAAAGAUUGUGAUUGUGGUGAAGGAUUUUUAUUUUUAUUUGUUUAAAGCUGGUUUGUUUUAGUGUUUUAUAAAAAUAUUUUUAAUUUAAAAAAAUAUUAAUUUUUUUAAUGUUUUACAAUAAUUUUGAGGUAUUGAUGUUUAUUUUUUUUCCAUAUUGUUUUAAUUUCUUUUUAACAUAUUUGUAGAUAAAAAACUUUUUUAAAAAAAUUUCAAAAGUAGAGGGAAUUACACUCUCAAACAAUUGAGUGUCAUUUUCAUGUAACAUUUGGCUGCAUUAGACGCAUAGAAUAUAUAUGGUUGCUUUUCAACUUUUUACUUUCUUAAAGAUUAUGCUGGAGCUCUUUUUUUUUUUUUGGUGACGUGCUAAUAAAAAAAAAUUUAAAAAUUAUUUAAGUAAAAAAUACUUUAAAACAAUAUUAAAAAAUAAAAGCCACCGACUCUCCCAACCAAUAACCUAUGAGCAGAUAAAUUUCUUUUAAUUAGUUAUCUGUUUACUUUUACUUUGAUUCCAAAGAAAAAUUUGUGGUCGGAGGAGGAGCUCUCUAUUUUUAUGAGAUUUCGCGUCAUUCAAGCUUCAGUCACAAAAAAUGAUAAAAGGUGCCAGAUUCACAAAUGUAGGAAUAGUUAUGGUCCAAAUAUACUGGACUAGCCUCUCUCUUUUUUCUUGGUGCUGAAUUAGAAAAUGGAAGCUGAGUUCAAGCUGAGAGUGACCUUGGAUUUAUUUGUCAAGACUCACCUCUUUUCCAAUCUAAAGAGUUCCUGACUAGCCCAAUUUCCCUAAAUUCAGGAGCAUGACUCGGUGGCCGGAGCUUCUGCUAGUCGCAUGGGAAUAUAUUGCAUUUGGGAUUUCAGUAAGCUUAGGACAAACUUAUGAACCUGGCACCAUUAUGUGUGAGAGAGUCAUUGAGAUGGACCGACACACCGCCCACCUACUUUCAUAGCAAUGAGGUUUUGAAUUUUUGAACGGUUUUGUCCUUUUUAAAUUUUGAACUCCGAUCCAGUGGAAGGAAGGAUCUCUGUUUUAUUCUUUAGAUUGGCCACCAAAAUAAACAAUUAUUCAGUCGAUAUUUCAUUUAUCUUAAAAAUCUUGUAAUUUAAUUACACUUGUAAUUGUAAAGAUUUAAUUAUGGAGGUGAAAGGCAAGCCGGGCCAGCAUCAAAUUCGAUAGAUAAACAACUUUUUAUUGUUUUAUUCAAUUUGAAUGGUUUGAUACGAUACUUACAACAUUGUAAUCCUAAACUUUUCUAUUAUAUAUAAUAAAAUCUAAAACAACCUAGUAAUUAUUUGUGUAAAUAUAAUAAAACAAAUAAGAAGAUAAGACUUUACCUUGAGAACGUUUGCAUCGUGUUUUUAAAAAAUUUAAUUUUUUUUGUUAAAAAUUAAUUUUUUUUAUGUAUUUUGGAUUGAUUUUUAUGCGUUGAUCUCAAAAAUAAUUUUUAAAAAAUAAAAAAUAUCAUUUUGAUACAUUUCGACAUAAAAAACACUUUAAAAAACAACCGCAACCCUCACUUCCAAACAAAUUUUAUACAAAAGGUUAUAGUUAGAUUUCUUUCUAGUGUUAAAUAGCUGUGGCAGUGGUUAUUUUUUAAGUAAUUUUUACUUAAAAAAUAUAAAAGUAUUUUUUUAAAAUUUUUUAGAUUAAAAUAAUAGAAAAAAAUAAUAAUAAUAAUUUAAUCUUAAAUAAAGAAAUUUAAUUUUUUAAUAAACUCGCAGCUACGUUGCCAUGCAAGAUCUAAAAACAUGGACUCGCAAAAUAACUCUAGCCUCUUAUUCAAAAGAGAGCUAGUUCUCACGCCACUCGAAUUGACUGGGUCUAUAACCCAAGCUAAAAGAGCGUGAAAAACACACUCCAAUCCUUUAAUCAGAAAGUUAACAACCUUGAUCAUGCACGCGCUGCUAAAAUCACCUGAAGCACGAUGGCAGUGAUCGUGUUUAGAAGCCAAGAGGUUCGGAGACAGGUACGGGAGAAGUAGCUUAUGAGGAGUGAAGUGGGCAGGGGGGAGAGAGAGAGAGAGAGAGUCCACUACUGAUACCAUCCAUCUAUAAAGCAAAGUCAUAAAAAGAGAGAGGAGGGUAGCUCUCUUUGUUUGUAGAAGAAGGAAGAAAAAAGAAAAAUAAAAACUGAAAAGCAGAAAAAAAAAGCUAAUGGAGAAUGUGAUAUCUCUCUCUCUAGAGGUUUUAGCAUCAAACUAACCUCUUAAAAAAUAUACAUCGAACGUCCUCCUCAUCCUCCCGUCCUUUUCUAUAUCUCUCUUCUCCGAUCAAUCUCUGUUUUUUUCAAUUUGUUUCAGCUCCAACAGACUAAAAUAGAGACCGGUUUAAUAGUAAGAAAGAGGGAAAUAGAUAGCAGCAUACGUAACAUUAAUUUGCGACAGAAUGGCUGGUGAAGGAGGAACAUUGUCUUUUUCGGUGGCGUCCGUAGUGGAGGAUGUGCUGCAGCAACAUGGUAAUAGACUCGGAGAUCUCGAUUUGGAGUCCAGGAAAGCUGAAGAAGCCGGUAGUUUUUUUUUCCUUUUUCUUUCCAUUGCAAUAGAACAAUUCAUUUUCUCAGAAUUGUCUAUGGGAAGUGUUAAUUUUGUUGAGAUUUCUUGCUGUUAGCAUCAAGAAGGUAUGAAGCUGCGGGGUGGUUGAGAAAGAUGGUAGGAGUGGUUGCAGCUAAAGAUUUGCCAGCAGAGCCAUCUGAAGAAGAGUUUAGGCUUGGAUUGAGAAGUGGAAUCAUUCUUUGCAAUGCUCUCAAUAAGAUACAACCCGGGGGUGUGCCUAAGGUGAUGCCAAUUUUCCUUCUCUCUGUUUUUUUUUCUUCUUACAAAUAAUAAUUGUUGGACAUUAGUGAUUAAUUAAAUUUUAAUUAUUUUAGGUCGUGGAGAGUCCAUGCGAUGCUGCUCCUAUACCCGAUGGAGCAGCAUUAUCUGCAUUUCAGUACUUUGAAAAUGUAAGAAAUUUCCUUGUAGCGGUACAGGAGAUGGGGAUUCCUAAUUUUGAGGCAUCUGAUCUGGAACAAGUAUGUAUUGCAUUUACUAUAUGCAAGUGAUGCUUUGCUUGGAAUUAGAUAUGGAGAGCUUGAUUUGUCUAACUCUGAUUCAUUUCAUUGUAUUUCCUAGGGAGGAAAAUCGGCAAGGGUUGUGAAUACUGUUUUGGCACUUAAAUCAUACAGUGAGUGGAAACAAACUGGUGGAAAUGGGAUUUGGAAAUUUGGUGGAAAUGUAAAACCGCCAGUGUCAGCCAAGUCUUUUGUAAGAAAAAAUUCGGAACCAUUCAUGAACUCAUUAUCCAGGAACUUGUCAAUAAAUGGAAAAUCUUUCAACUCCCUGUCCAGUGAUCUUGAGUACUCUAAUAAAAUGGUUGGUAAGCUUAACUGAUUUUAAAUUCAAGCACUUGCUUGCUCAAUCAGCUUCAGAUUUAUGUCUUAUUUUUUUUUUUUUCAUUUUCCCCCUCAUUUCUAGUCUGGGUCUGGUUCCUUGAGCAUGCUUGUUCGUGCUGUUUUGUUGGAUAAGAAGCCAGACGAAGUUCCAAUGGUAAGAAUCUAUGCGCUCAUUGCUGCUGCAUUAUAUUAACAUUUUGAGGAACACACCCGCGUCUUGAGGCUGCCAAUCUGCCUCGGUAUAGAAUACUUGCUGAUGGGUUGAUUGUCGAUCGCAUUUCCUCAAUUUCAAAAACUUAAAACCCAAAUUUGCUGACCUCAAAUACUACCAACCCUUAGAAUUUGCAAGUACCUUUAACGUUGAUUUUACAUGUUCUCUGCUUGCAAUAGUUGGUGGAAUCAGUGCUCAGUAAGGUUGUGGAGGAAUUUGAGAGUCGCAUUGCAAGCCAAUAUGAUAUGGUAUGCCAGCUGAUCAUUCAAAACUAAUGAGUUUGCAGAAGAUAAGUAUUUGUCUAACUAUUUGUUUAUGCAACUGUAUUGUAUGUUAUAGGCAAAGGAAGCUCCUAAAGAAAUAGCCAUCUCUCAGGGAAACAAGUUUUUGCUGAAAUCUACUGGUGAUAAUAAAAGGGUAAUCUCUUAAUCUUCAUCUACUGAAUAGCGAAAGGCCUCCUAAGUUCGAGAAUGUUAUCAAGACAAUGAGAAAGUACUACCAGUGUGAAGCCUAUGAUGCUUUUAAUUGUAGGAUAAAUUCUAAGGGGUUCAUGUCUGUUGUUGAAAUCAUGUAGACUGAAGACAAAAAUGUCAGAUUGAUAAAGAAAGAGGAAUGCUUUCAUAAAAACCAAAUUGCAGAGGAGGAAUUAAAAAAUAAAACCCAGAAACAGCAAAUGAUCUUUGAUAAACAACAAAGAGAUAUUCAGGUACGACUGAUUGUAAUUCUUUUCCACUAUUUUCUUUUUCGGAUUAAUAAACUAGAGUGCUCCUCCUAAUUAUUCCUUGCUGCAGGAAUUAAAAAACACGCUUAGUACAACAAAAGCUGGUAUGCAGUUUAUGCAAAUGAAAUUUCAUGAGGAGUUUAACAGUCUUGGUAGGUACUCAGGAAGAAAUUUGAUUUUACUUUUGGUUAUUUAGGAAUGUUCCUUUUUGGUGGAUGAGCAUGGCCGUUGUAGGGGGCAACGUUGAUUAAGCAUUCUUUCUAUCUAAGUUUGGAGUUCUUGUCUUUCAACGUAGGGAUGCACAUCCAUGGUCUAGCUCAUGCUGCUUCUGGCUACCAUAAGGUUCUCGAGGAAAAUCGAAAGCUAUACAAUCAAGUGCAGGACCUAAAGGGUCAGUUACACUUUCCCACAAGAGAUUAGGAAUCAUGUUUUUCUUUACAAUGUAUCUAAGCCCUAAUAUUUGUUUUGACCAGGGAGUAUUCGGGUUUAUUGUCGAGUGAGACCAUUUUUGUCUGGACAAUCAAACGAUUUGAGCACUGUGCAUAGCAUAGAAGAUGGGAAUAUUACUAUUAGCACCGCGUCAAAACAUGGAAAAGGAUGCAAGUCCUUUAGCUUCAAUAAAGUCUUUGAACCAUGUGCUACCC